This 75449-nucleotide long non-coding RNA is filed under the name Triticum aestivum (bread wheat). Its description in RNAcentral is "long non-coding RNA (TAES_LNC005510)". Lineage: Eukaryota; Viridiplantae; Streptophyta; Magnoliopsida; Poales; Poaceae. The record is from RNAcentral.
UGUUUUUUUGUGUUUAGUUAGUGUUUGUGCCAAGUAGAACCGUUGGGAAGACUUGGGGAAAGUCUUUUUGAUCAUUGCUGUAAAAAAACAGAAACUUUAUUGCUCACAAGAAUUGCUGCCAUUUUUAUUUGAAAGGCGCUAUUUAGUUAAUUCUUUUCGCAGAUAAUUAAUAGAUAAAUGCCUCACGUCUAUCAAUUUAUUUUAGAAUUUUUCGGGUCCUAGAACUUGCGUUAGCUACAGAUUACUACAGACUGUUCUGUUUUUGACAGAUUCUGUUUUUCUUGUGUUGUUUGCUUAUUUUGAUAGAUCUAUGGCUAGUAAAAGAGUUUAUAAACCAUAGAGAAGUUGGAAUACAGUAGGUUUAACACCAAUAUAAAUAAAUAAUGAGUUCAUUACAGUACCUUGAAGUGGUGUUUUGUUUUCUUUCGCUAACGGAGCUCACGAGAUUUUCUAUUUUGAGUUUUGUGUUGUGAAGUUUUCAAGUUUUGGGUAAAGAUUUGAUGGAUUAUGGAACAAGGAGUGGCAAUAGCCUAAGCUUGGGGAUUCCCAUGGCACCCCAAGCUAAAAUUCAAGGAAACCAAAAAGCCUAAGCUUGGGGAUGCCCCGGAAGGCAUCCCCUCUUUCGUCUUCGUCUAUCGGUAACUUUACUUGGAGCUAUAUUUUUAUUCACCACAUGAUAUGUGUUUUGCUUGGAGCGUCUUGUAUGAUUUGAGUCUUUGCUUUUUAGUUUACCACAAUCAUCCUUGUUGUACACACACUUUGAGAGAUACUCACACGAUUGGGAAUUUAUUAGAAUACUCUAUGUGCUUCACUUAUAUCUUUUGAGCUAUAUAGUUUUUGCUCUAGUGCUUCACUUAUAUCUUUUAGAGCACGGUGGUGGUUUUGUUUUAUAGAAACUAUUGUUCUCUCAUUCUUCACUUAUAUUAUUUUGAGAGUCCUUUAGAACAACAUGGCAAUAAUAAAAACUUUCAUACAAGUGUAUUGAAUACUAUGAGAAGUUUGAUACUUGAUAAUUGUUUUGAGAUAUGGAGAUGGUGAUAUUACAGUCAUGCUAGUUGAGUAGUUGUGAAUUUGAGAAAUACUUGUGUUAAAGUAUGUGAUUCCCCUAGCAUGCACUUAUGGUGAACCGUUAUGUGAUGAAGUCGGAGCAUGAUCGGUCGGGGACGAGCGAAGGUCUUUUCCUACCAAUCUAUCCCCCUAGGAGCAUGCGUGUAAUACUUUGUUUCGAUAACUUGGAUUUUUGCAACAAGUAUAUGAGUUCUUUAUGACUAAUGUUGAGUCUAUGGAUUAUAUGCACUCUCGCCCUUCCACCAUUGCUAGCCCCUCUAAUACCGCGCACUUUUCGCCGGUAUCAUACACCCACCAUAUACCUUCCUCAAAACAGCCACCAUACCUACCUAUUAUGGCAUUUCCAUAGCCAUUCCGAGAUAUAUUGCCAUGCAACUUUCCACCGUUCCGUUAUUAUGACACUCUUCAUCAUUGUCAUAUUGCUUGCAUGAUCAUGUAGUUGACAUCGUAUUUGUGGCAAAGCCACCAUUCAUAAUUCUUUCAUACAUGUCACUCAUGCAUCAUAGCACAUCCCGGUACACCGCCGGAGGCAUUCACAUAGACUCAUAUCUUGUUCUAAGUAUCGAGUUUUAAUUCUUGAGUUGUAAGUAAAUAAAGUGUGAUGAUCAUCAUUAUUAGAGCAUUGUCCCAAGUGAGGAAAGGAUGAUGGAUACUAUGAUUCCCCCACAAGUCGGUAUGAGACUCUGGACAAAAAAAAGAAGAAGAGAAAAUAGGCAAAAAAAGAAAAAAAGAAAGAAGGCCCAAAGAAAAAAAUGAGAGAAAAAGAGAGAAGGGACAAUGUUACUAUCCUUUUUCCACACUUGUGCUUCAAAGUAGCACCAUGAUCUUCAUGAUAGAGAGUCUCCUAUGAUAUCACUUUCAUAUACUAGUGGAAAAUUUUCAUUAUAGAACUUGGCUUGUAUAUUCCAAUGAUGGGCUUCCUCAAAUUGCCCUAGGUCUCCGUGAGCAAGCAAGUUGGAUGCACACCCACUUAGUUUCUUUUGUUGAGCAUUCAUACACUUAUAGCUCUAGUGCAUCCAUUGCAUGGCAAUCCCUACUCACUCACAUUGAUAUCUAUUAAUGGGCAUCUCCAUAGCCCGUUGAUAUGCCUAGUUGAUGUGAGACUAUCUUCUCCUUUCUGUCUUCUCCACAACCACCAUUCUAUUCCACCAUAGUGCUAUAUCCAUGGCUCACGCCCAUGUAUUGCAUGAAGAUUGAAAAAGUUUGAGAACACCAAGUAUGAAACAAUUGCUUGGCUUGUCAUCGGGGUUGUGCAUGAUUUAAAUAUUUUGUGUGGUGAAGAUAGAGUGUAGCCAGACUAUAUGAUUUUGUAGGGAUAACUUUCUUUGGCCAUUUUAUUUUGAGAAGACAUGAUUGCUUAGUUAGUAUGCUUGAAGUAUUAUUAUUUUUAUGUCAAUAUUAAACUUUUAUAUUGAAUCUUAUGGAUCUGAAUAUUCUUGCCGCGAUAAAGAAAAAUUACAUUGAGAAAUAUGUUAGAAAGCAUUCCACAUCAAAAAUUAUUCUUUUUUAUCAUUUACCUACUCGAGGACGAGUGGGAAUUAAGCUUGGGGAUGCUAAUACAUCUCCAACGUAUCUAUAAUUUUUGAUUGCUCCAUGCUAUUAUAUUAUCUAUUUUGGAUGUUAAUGGGCUUUAUUCUACACUUUUAUAUCAUUUUUUGGACUAACCUACUAACCGGAGGCCCAGCCCAAAUUGCUGUUUUUUUUGCCUAUUUUAGGGUUUCGAAGAAAAGGAAUAUCAAACGGAGUCCAAAUGGAAUGAAACCUUCGGGAACAUGAUUUUCUCAACAAAUGUGAUCCAGGAGACUUGGAGUGGCCAUCAAGAAACAAGGGAGGAAGGCACGAGGCAGGGGGCGCGCCCUCCACCCUCGUGGGCCCUCCCUUGCUCCACCGACGUACUUCUUCCUCCUAUAUAUAUAUCCACGUACCCCCCAAACACCCAGGACCACCACGAAAACCUAAUUCCACCGCCGCAGCCUGCUGUACUCGAGAGAUACCAUCUCGGGGCCUUUUCCGGAGCUCCACCGGAGGGGGCAUUGAUCAUGAAUUGUGGGUUUAUGAUCCAGAUUAUCGAUGAACAAUAUUUGAUUCUCCUCUGAAUUCUUUUAUGUAUGAUUGGUUUAUCUUUGCAAGUCUCUUCGAAUUAUCAGUUUGGUUUGGCCUACUAGAUUGAUCUUUCUUGCAAUGGGAGAAGUGCUUAGCUUUGGGUUCAAUCUUGUGGUGUUCGAUCCCAGUGACAGAAAGGGAACCGAUACAUAUUGUAUUGUUGCCAUCGAGGAUAAAAAGAUGGGGUUUAUAUCAUAUUGCAUGAGUUUAUUCCUCUACAUCAUGUCAUCUUCCUUAAAGCAUUACUCUAUUCUCUUGAACUUAAUACUCUACAUGCAUGCUGGAUAGCGGUCGAUGUGUGGAGUAAUAGUAGUAGAUGCAGAAUCGUUUCGGUCUGCUUGUCUCGGACGUGAUGCCUAUAUACAUGAUCAUACCUAGAUAUUCUCAUAACUAUGCUCAAUUCUAUCAAUUGCACACCAGUAAUUCGUUUACCCACCGUAAUACUUAUGCUCUUGAGAGAAGCCACUAGUCAAACCUAUGGCCCCGGGGUCUAUCUUCCAUUAUAUUAAUCUUCCAGUACUUUGUUAUUUCUAUUGCCUUUUAUUUUACUUUGCAUCUUUUAUUUCUCUUUAUCAUAAAAAUACCAAUAAUAUUAUCUUAUCAUAUCUAUCAGAUCUCACUCUCGUAAGUGACCGUGAAGGGAUUGACAACCCCUUUUUCGCGUUGGUUGUGAAGUUCUUAUUUAUUUGUGUAGGUGCGUGGGACUUGAGCGUGAUCUCCUACUGGAUUGAUACCUAGGUUCUCAAAAACUGAGGGAAAUACUUACGCUACUUUACUGCAUCACCCUUUCCUCUUCAAGGGAAAACCAACGCAGUGCUCAAGAGGUAGCAGCGGUCUAAUUUACAAUCCUGUUGGGAGUAUCUAGCAGCCACCUCUACUUGGCCAUAUACUAAACUAACGGGAAUUUCUUCCCCAUUUGACCCUAGUGGUAUGACCCGGGCCAUGUGAUUCGGAUCCAGCUUGGUAUAUCGUGUUUUUACCAUGGCCCAGGCCUCUUGCGCACCCUUUUGGCAGGCCGAUAUCUUCCAUAGUCGGAUACGCCGCCGCGCUCCCUUGAACAGCUCUACAAGCUUCUCCAUACUCCCUGGAGGGGAGUCGGAUGGCCAUAAGGCCUUGGCUACACUCCGCAUUGCCAGCCGGGCUUUCUCGUGAACUGCGACAGCCCUUGCAGAAGAUCACUUGAUGAUUCGGACACCUCCUCUUUGGAACGGCCCGUCAAUAUACCUGCAAUCACAGCUAUAUCAGCUACUUUUACUUCCAAACUGUAAUAAGGUAAAUACGGACACAUACUGAAUAUGCCACCUUGCAAUUUUUUGUUCUCCUUCACGGAGUUGGCUAGUUGGGCUCGCACAUCCUUCAGCUAUUCGCCCAGCUGGGUGUUUGCAUCUUGGAGUUUGUUUUUCUCUUGUCUGGCACGGGUCAAAACCCGCUCGCCUGCGGCAUGCAGUCUUUUCGACUCUUUUUCCUGCAAUUGAUCCGAUGAUCCUGUUACGAGAUAAAGCCAAAGUGUUAACACGGUCGCUGUGCAAUAACUGUUUCUAGAUGGAGGGAAAUAUCACCGGAAGACGCCGCUUUGGAUUUUUCCAGUUCGGCGGUCACUGCGUUCAACUGCGUCCGGCACUUUUCUAGCUCUCGAGCUAACACAUCGUUCUUCUCCGACAGAACCUAGUCAUGCAGCGAUCCUCAAAUCAGUUGUCCCAACUACUUUAAGUCUUGGGGGCUACUGGCAUAUGGUUAUCAUAGUCAGACAAAGUAAACUUACCUGCACAUCUUUUAAAUGCUGCUUUGUGGCUCUGUUAAGCCCAUCUCGAGAAGCUCUGAUAUAUGCACCAGUCGAGCUGGAGGCGUUAAAUGCCUCUUCUAAAAAGCCAGGGUCUUGUAAAACGGCCCUGCGACGCCGAUGAUUCAUGGCGCUCUCCACUUCCGAGUUGGUGACGGAUACGUCAUCCAAAUCCUCGGCUGGAGGACAGUCCUGCGUCACCCCCACAUUAGCCCCCGUCUUCACGACAGGAUCUGGAUCCUGGCUGCGGGAAGUAUGGCCGGCAGGACCCCCGGAUAUAGUCCGGCACACCUUUUUCCUGAUACAGGGUAAACAGAAAGGUCACAGUUGGAUGUGAUUGCCAAGGUGCAUAUUUGCAAAUUCAUACCUCUUUGAUGAAGGCUCGGCCGUAUCUUCGUUUGCCUUCCUCUUCGAAGGCUUGCCUGGUGUGGGGACGCUCUCUUCGGAGAUGCCCCCGGGGCAGCAUGGCGCGUCGAAUGCCUCCGCUUUUGAGCACAGGACAGUGCGGUGGGUAAGGAGGAAUGAGAAAACUCUCUUGGACAAGGUAUCUUCGGAUUACUUACAUGUGAAGCAGGAAGGAGGCUGGGGUAAUCGACAAUGAUGGGUACAUCUGUACCGUCAUAGCUCAUCUGAUAGAAUAUUCCAUCCUCGAGCUCCACAAAUAUGUCCGGAUCUUCCUCAUAUUCGGGGUCAAGAUCCCAGUUGCCAUUCUCCGGCUGAGGGGUAGGGUCAUGGAUCCCCUCGACAGCCUCUCGCCAUUCCUGUUAUAAGCGGAUAAGAUACUGCCUGUCAAGAAUGAUUCAGGGACAGGAGUAAAAUACUGGAGCUGAAGCUUACCCAGCUGGGAGGAUUAUACAUGGAAAAUCCGUCUCGAUGUUGGAGAGGGGUGAACUCCUCUUUCUCCCCUUUAUACAGCUCGACCAGUAUUUUGGCCAGGGCGGCGGGGGUCUUCGGGCCCUUUCGACCAUAGCGUGAGAAGUCGUCCUCCCCGUUAUAAUGCCACAUGGGCAUCCCUCUGUAUUGGAGUGGCUGAACCCCCCGUGCUAUAGAGGUCGUCAUUACCUCGACUAUUGACAAUCCGGACUGGGCAAGCGUCUUAAUCUUGCCCAGCAGCAGGCUGAUCUCUGCACUAUCCUCUUCCUCGAGGCUCCGAGGACGCCAGCUAUGGCGUUUCUUCAGCGGAGCACUUGAAAACUUAGGGAGGCCCAUACGGACGGGGUCGGGUAGAGAGACGUUGUUGAUGUAGAACCAUUCGGAAGGCCACUCUUCGGAAGCUUUCUUCGGCGUGCCGGACAGGUAUCCGGUCCCGGCGAUGCACCACACUUCGGCGCCUCCCACUUCAAAAAUUGACCCACCUUGAUUAUGAGGGACAAGGUAGAACAGUCUUCUCCAUAAAUCGAAAUGGGCCUCGCAGCCCAGGAAUAGCUCGCAUAAAGCGACGUAACCCGCAAUAUGAAGGAUAGAGGCAGGAGUGAGACUGUGCAGUUGGAGGACGUAAUACUCCAGCAGACCUCGGAGGAAGGGAUGGAUCGGAAAUCUGACACCUCUUAACAAGAAGGGGACGAAGCAUACUCGCUCUCCCAUGGACGGAUUGGGGAAGUUCUCCGUUUGAGUCCCGCCCUUGAAGGACGUCAUCCCUACUCGUACGGGGACCAGGUCCGUGGGGGGAAGAAAGCCCUGUGUUUGCAGCUUCGCCAGCUGACUGUGGGAUAUGGAACAUCUCUCCCAAUCACCCUUCUUGGAGCCGUGGGGACGAGAGGAAGAGCCGGGAGCGCUAGCCAUGCUAGGUUGGUUUUUUCUUAGCAAGCUCUGAGUAUUUUUCGUGGGGUGUGGAAUGGAUCUGAGAUCUAUUCUCUUUAAAUAGGCACCUUUGUGGUAUGGUCGGGGUGGUAUAUGCAAAAAUACCCUGACAUCUCGCAUUCGCUCGACACGUGGAAACUGAAGUUGUUGAUGCACAGAAGCCGAUGAGUACAACAUUAAAUGGAAGGCCGGACAUACUACUUGGAAGUCAUCGGUGGAGGAACCCGCCUUGCAAUGCCGAACAUAAUCUAUGUGCCGAACACCUCGUCAUUGAAGACUGGUUCGGGGGCUACUGAGGGAGUCCUGGACUAAGAGGUCCUCGGGCGUCCGGCCUGUUAGCCAUGGGUCAGAGUGAUGGGCUGUGAAGAUACGAAGACCGAAGACUGUACCCGUGUCCGGAUGGGACUUUCCUUGGCGUGGAAGGCAAGCUUGGCGGCCAACUAUGUAGAUUCCUUUCUCCGUAACCGACCUUGUGUAACCCUAGGUCCCUCUCGUGUCUAUAUAAACCGGAGGGCUAGGUCCGUAGAUAGGCCGAGUACUCAUUACCAUACCCAUACAAGCUAGACCUCUAGGGUUUAGCCAUUACGAUCUCGAGGUAGAUCAACUCUUGUAAUACUCAUAUUCAUCAAUAUCAAUCAAGCAUGACGUAGGGUAUUACCUCCAUAGAGAGGGCCCGAACCUGGGUAAACACCAUGUCCCCUGUCUCCUGUUACCAUCGACCUAAGACGCACAGUUCGGGACCCCCUACCCGAGAUCCACCGGUUUUGACACCGACAGAGACGUCAUGGCGAUCUAGAUCUGUCAGAAAAAACAACUCGAAACAAGAACAUAGGAUAUUGCCGUGAUAUGGUGGUCAAAACCUUCGGGAGAUUAUAUAAUGAAUUUUUAACGACCAAAAGAAGUGUACUACGAGAAAACGGUGUCUGGAGGGCACAUGAGGUGGCCACAAGCCUGGGAGGUGCGCCCCCAGGGCUUGUUGCCUCCUCGUGCACUUUUUGGACUACUUCUUAUUUUCCUAAUUUUUUUAACUAUUCCAAAACUAAGUAAAAAUUGCUUUGGGAAAAGUUUUGGAGUCGGUUAACUCAUUGUAUCACAUACCUAUUCCUUUUCGAGGGUCUGGAGUGUUCUGGUAGGUUUCCCUUAUGUACUCCUCCGGUGUUAUGGUAUUAAUAAUAUUGGUUUAUACAUUUAUGGGAGUACCUGAGAUAUAAUGUUUAAUUCUUUGCUCAUUCACCACCUCGGGUUAUUGCCCUCGGUGUUGUUGAUCUUGAUGGCACCAGAACGGUAAACUUCCUUGAUAAUAUAAGGCCCUUCCCAUUUAGAGAGAAGUUUUCCUACAAAAAAAUCUUAAACGAGAAUUGUAUAGCGAGACAUGGUCACCUACACUGAAUUCAUGCUUUUCUAUCCUUUUCUCAUGCCAUCUUUUAACCUUUUCUUUAAAUAAUUUGGCAUUCUUAUAGGCUUGAGUUCUCCAUUCAUAAAGUGAGCUAAUGUUAAAUAACCUCUUCUCACCGGCAAGUUUGAAAUCAUAAUUGAGCUCUUUAAUUGCCCAAUAAGCUUUAUGUUCUAGUUCAAGAGGUAAGUGACAUGCUUUCCCAUAAACCAUUUUAUAUGGAUACACACCCAUUGGAUUAUUAUAAGAAGUUCUAUCAGCCCAUGAUGCAUCAUCAAGUUUCUUAGACCAAUUCUUUCUAGAUCUAUUAACAGUAUUUUGCACGAUCAAUUUUACUUCUGUAUUACUCAAUUCUACUUGACCACUAGACUGAGGAUGAUAAGGAGAUGCAAUUCUAUGGUUAUCAUCAUACUUAGCAAGCAAUUUUUGGAAAGCACCAUGAAUAAAGUGUGAACCACCAUCAGUCAUUAAAUAUCUAGGGACUCCAAACCUCAGGAAAAUAACUUCUUUAAGCAUUUUAAUGAAGGUACUAUGAUCAGCACUACUAGUUGGAAUAGCUUCUACCCACUUAGUAACAUAAUCAACAACAACCAAAAUAUGUGUAUACCCAUUGGAGGAAGGAAAAGGUCCCAUCUAAUCAAAUCUCCAAACAUCAAAUGGUUCAAUAACAAGUGAAUAAUUCAUAGGCAUUUCGUGAUGUCUACUAAUAUUACCAAUUCUUUGACAUUCAUCACAAGACAAGACAAACUUACGAGCAUCCUUGAAAAGAGUAGGCCAAUAAAAAAUAGAUUGUAAUACCUUAUGUGCAGUUCUAUCUCUAGCAUGGUGUCCACCUAUGCCUCAGAGUGACACUUGCAUAGGAUCUGUCCUAUUCAUGCUCAGGUACACAACGUCUAAUUAUACCAUAUACUCCUUCUUUAUAAAUGUGUGGGUCAUCCCAAAAGUAAUGUAUUAAAUCAUAGAAAAACUUUUUCUUUUGUUGGUAUGUGAAACUAGGUAGUAUAACUUUAGCAAAAAUGUAGUUAGCAUAAUCAGCAUACCAAGGAGUACUACGACAAGCAUUUAUAACAGCUAAUUGUUCACCAGGAAAGCUAUCAUCGAUAGGUGGUGGGUCAUCAAGAAUACUUUCUAAUCUAGACAAGUUGUAUGCAACGGGGUUCUCAGCUCCUUUUAUAUCAAUAAUAUGUAAAUCAAAUUUUAGCAGCAAGAGAACCCAUCUAAUAAGUCUAGGUUUAGAAUCUUUAUUUUCCAUAAGAUGUUUAAUAGCAGCAUGAUCGGUGUGAACAGUUACUUUAGAAUCAACAAUAUAAGAUCUGAACUUGUCACAAUCAAAUACAAUUGCUAAAAAUUCUUUUUCAGUAGUAGCAUAGUUUCUUUGAGCACUGUUAGAGUUUUACUAGCAUAAUGGAUGACAUUUAAUUUCUUAUCAACUCUUUGUCCUAGAACAUCACCAACAACAUAAUCUCUAGCAUCACACAUAAUUUCAAAGGGUAGGUUCCAAUCAGGUGGUUGGACAAUAUGUGCAGAGAUUAAGGAUUUCUUAAGUAUUUCAAAUGCUUCUACACAAUCAUCAUAAAAAUCAAAUGGAACAUCUUUUUGCGAUAGAUUAGUAAGAGGCCUAGAAAUUUUAGAGAAGUCUUUAAUAAAUCUCCUAUAGAAACCAGCAUGACCAAGGAAACUUCUUAUACCUUUGAUAUCUUUAGGACACGACAUUUUUUCAAUAGGAUCAACUUUAGCUUUAUCAACUUCAAUACCUCUUUCAGAGAUUUUAUGCCCCAAGACAAUACCUUCAUUAACCAUGAAGUGGCACUUCUCGCAAUUCAAGACAAGAUUAGUUUCUUCACAUCUUUGUAGAACUCAAUCAAGGUUGCUUAAGCAAUCAUCAAAAGAAGUUCCGCAAAUAGAGAAAUCACCCAUGAAAACCUUAACAAUCUUUUCACAAAAGUCAGAGAAUAUAGCAGUCAUACAUCUUUGAAAGGUAGCAGGUGCAUUGCAUAAACCAAAAGGCAUACGUCUAUAAGCAAAGGUACCAAAAGGGCAUGUAAAAGUAGUUUUUUCUUGACCCUCUUGUGAUACAGGUAUUUGGGAAAACCAGAAUAACCAUCUAGAAAGCAGAAAUGUGUAUGUUUUGAUAGUCUUUCUAGCAUUUGAUCAAUGAAAGGUAAAGGGUAAUGAUGUUUCCUAGUAGAUUUAUUUAAUUUUCUAAAAUCAAUUACCAUUGUAUAACCCAUGAAAAUUCUUUGCGGAAUCAAUUCAUUUUAUCAUUAGGAACAACAGUAAUAGCUCCCUUCUUAGGGACACAAUGAACAUGACUUACCCAUCUACUAUCAGUAAUAGGAUAAAUUAUACCUACUUCUAGAAGCUUUAAUAUUUCAUUUUUUACCACUUCUUUCAUCUUAGGAUUCAACUGUCGCUGAUUAUCAAUAACUGGUUUAGCAUCAGGUUCCAUAUUAAUUUUGUGCUGACAUAGAGUGGGACUAAUUCCCUUAAGAUCACCCAGAGUAUAUCCAAUAGAGGCUCGGUGCUUCCUUAGAGUUUUCAAUAAUUUCUUUUCCUCUGGAUCUGAAAGGUUAGCACUAAUAAUAAGAGGAUAUAUCUUCUUCUCAUCGAGAUAAGCAUACUUCAAAAUAUUGGGUAAUUGUUUAACGUCAAACACAGGAGCACUGUUGGGUGGUAGAGGAUCUCCAAGAGUCUCAACAGGCAAAUUGUGUUUCAAAACAGGCAUUUGUUUAAAGAAUAUCUCAUCUAUUUCAUUUCUUUCAUUCAUGAACAUGUUAUUUUCAUGGUCUAGCAAAUAUUGUUCUAAAAGAUCAGUAGGAGGCACGACAAUAGAAGCAAGAACAAUAAUUUCAUCUUUAUUAGGCAAUUCUUUAUCAUGGGGUUGUCUACGAAAUUUGGAGAAAUUAAACUCAUGAGACACAUCCCCGAAACUUACACUAACAGUUUGUUUCUCACAAUCUAUUUUAGCAUUAACAGUGUUCAAGAAAGGUCUACCAAAUAUAAUGAGACAAAAAUCAUCUUGUGGGGAACUAAGAACUAGAAAAUCGGUAGGGUAUUUUAUUUUCCCACACAAGACUUCAACAUCUCUAACAAUCCCAAUUGGUGAGAUAGUAUCUCUAUUGGCAAGUUUAAUAGUAACAUCAAUAUCUUCUAUUUCAGCAGGUGCAAUAUCAUUCAUAAUUUCUUGGUAUAAAGUAAAGGGAAUUGCACUCACACUAGCACCCAAAUCACAUAAGCCAUGAUAAUAAUGAUCUCCUAUUUUAACAAAGACAACAUGCAUGCCAACAAUAGGUGUAUGUUUAUCUUUAUCAUCGGGUUUAGCAAUUCUAUCAGCUGCAUCACAGAAAUAAAUAACAUGCCCAUCAAUAUUAUCGACCAAGAGAUCUUUAACCAUAGCAAUACUAGGUUCAACUUUAAUUUGUUCAGGGGUGUAGGUUUCUAGUAUAACUCUUACAGACUACAGCUGGAGCUUUAGCAUGUUCUUUUAUCCUAACAGGAAAAGGUGGUUUAUCAAUGUAAGCAGUAGGAAUAACAUGAUCAACAUUAUAAGUAAUGGUUUCUUCUUCAGCUUUAAUGGGUUCUACUAUUUUUACUUCAAUGGGAGGAUGAUAUUUAAGCCACUUAUCGUUAGGGAGAUCAACAUGAGUAGCAAAUGAUUCAUAGAAAGAAGCUACUAUCUCAGAGUCAAGUCCAUAUUUAGUGCUAAAUUCACGAGAAGCAUCGGCAACCAUUAUUUUUUUAACUCAAUCAAACUUAAGGUACCCGACUCCUUACCUUCGUCGAGCUCCCAAUCUUCAGAGUUCCGUUUAAUUCAUUCCAAAAGAUCCCAUUUGAAUUCAAUAGUUUUCUUCAUAAAGGAACCAGUACAAGAAGUAUCAAGCAUGGAUAUUGAUCAUUACGAGAAAGCCGAGCAUAAAAAUUCUGAAUAGUAGUUUCUCUUGAGAGCUCAUGGUUGGGGCAUGAAUAUAACAUUGACUUAAUCCGCCCCCAACCUUGAGUGAUACUUUCUACUUCACACGGCUAAAUAUUAUAUAUAUAAUUCCGAUCACUAUGAACCAGAUGCAUAGGAUAAAACUUCUGAUGAAAUUCCAAUUUCAAUCGAUUGUAAUUCCAAGCUCCAAUAUAAUCACAUAGCCUAUACUAUCACUACUGCAGGAUGCUGCUAAUGUGACACUACAAUUAGAGACACUUCGAUGAAACUGUGUGCGAUGCAAUAAUCGCAAACGAUGAUAUAAAAACACGUCAAAAAAGGUGCAAAACAUUUGCGAUGGCGGAUGCAUCAAACACGGUUUAGAUUUUAGUUGCGUGUGCGAUGUAGGGCAUACGGUUCAGUUCAAUUAACUGUUUGCAAUGAGGAGGAACAAAAGAAAUGGGUAGCCAGAUGAAGGUGUGUGCGAUAUACAGCAUACAGUUCUCUUGGAUGAACUGUUUGUGAUUAGGCAACACAAAAGAAACGGUCAGCCAGAUCAAGGUGUGUGCGAUAUACGGCAUGCGCUUCACUCGGAUGAACUAUUUGUGUUGAGACAAGAGAACAGAAACAGUUCAAUAUAACAAGAUGUGUGUGAUACGCAACAAACAAGUCUGUAAUCAGAAAUGUGUGCGAAGACCGAUAAUAAGGCAGAUGAUUGCUUCUAAUAAGACCUAUGUGAUAUGCUCUAUCUACACAACAUCCAUUGGCCAUUGGGCGAUGGGCACACAAUAAGGAUGCGAAGAGGUAUCCUAUAUCAGCAAGGACUAGCUAUUCCACCAAUAGCUCAUCUAAGAGAACUCUCAAGUUAACUGUGCUCGGGCUGGAGCAGCCAUUAGAUAGGUGACUGGAUGGAAAGUUGUCUUGAUGUUAAAUUAAUUGAUGGGAUGGGUCAUACAGGUCAAAUUAAAUGACCUCUAUGAUCCAUCCCAUCAGUUAAAUUAACCUCGAGGUCCUUGUUUUUUUAACACAUGUUAAAGAAAGGUCUAUCACAUAACUUUUUGACAAUGUGCGAUACGUGGCAUACAGUUGAUCCAUCCGGCUUGUUUGUGAUGGAAUAAGCUGUGUGUGUUAUGGGCACACGCUUGCUAGUAUACAACCGUUUGUGAUUGAUGAAUUCAUCACCGACGGGUUCCCUAGUGUGGUCUGUGUUCAUCUGAUCAUCAUCUACUUCUUGUGCUAGCUCGAUGUUCCUUAUAUGCUAAGUCUCCAUUAAUUGAUGGCGUUUUAUGAACACACCACCAUUUCCCGCAAUUUUCACACAUGUUUCCCGCCACCCAGUGAUAUUGCGCAUAAACCUAGGCGACGCGUGACGCACGGAGGCAACAAGCGCAGCCUGUAGCACAUCCACCUUUUCCAAGCAUGCCAACCCACCAAAGCACUGCCUCUGCCAUCAACCUCGCCGAUGAGGAAAACAAGCAGGCGCCACGGCCCGUCGAGGCUGAGGCGCUCCCCGGCAACGCGAUGGAUGAUGCCAUGAUGCGCGUCAUUGCCAGGGUUGAGCAGACCCUUGGCGCAUGGCGCUUGAGCGCCGCGGAUCAAGAUAGGCAUGUCAGCGCUGAGAGGCUGCAGCUCACUGCACAACAUGAUCGAUGGCGCGCCGCAGAGCAAGCUAGGCGCGUCUGCGCUGAUAGGCAGCGGCUCGCUGCAUGGCGAGACCGUUGGAGCACCGCAGAGCGAGAGGCGCGGCGCGCCGCAUAGCAAGAGCGGAUCCAUCGGCUCUUGCCUGCUGUCAACAGGGCGUCACAACUGGGUACACGUCCCUUUAGUACCUCCAUUCCUCUCCAUGAGUGGGCAGAGGCCCUCUGCGUCGUACUUGAAGGAAAUAUGCCCUAGAGGCAAUAAUAAAGUUAUUAUUUAUUUCCUUAUAUCAUGAUAAAUGUUUAUUAUUCAUGCUAGAAUUGUAUUAACCGGAAACAUAAUACAUGUGUGAAUACAUAGACAAACGGAGUGUCACUAGUAUGCCUCUACUUGACUAGCUCGUUAAUCAAAGAUGGUUAUGUUUCCUAACCAUGAACAAAGAGUUGUUAUUUGAUUAAAGGGAUCACAUCAUUAGGUGAAUGAUCUGAUUGACAUGACCCAUUCCAUUAGCUUAGCACCCGAUCGUUUAGUAUGUUGCUAUUGCUUUCUUCAUAACUUAUACAUGUUCCUAUGACUAUGAGAUUAUGCAACUCCCGUUUGCCGGAGGAACACUUUGUGUGCUACCAAACGUCACAACGUAAAUGGGUGAUUAUAAAGGUACUCUACAGGUGUCUCCAAAGGUACAUGUUGGGUUGGCCUAUUUCGAGAUUAGGAUUUGUCACUCCGAUUGUCGGAGAGGUAUCUCUGGGCCCUCUCGGUAAUGCACAUCACAUAAGCCUUGCAAGCAUUGCAACUAAUGAGUUAGUUGCGAGAUGAUGUAUUACGGAAUGAGUAAAGAGACUUGCCGGUAACGAGAUUGAACUAGGUAUUGAGAUACCGACGAUCGAAUCUCGGGCAAGUAACAUACCGAUGACAAAGGGAACAACGUAUGUUGUUAUGUGGUCUGACCGAUAAAGAUCUUCGUAGAAUAUGUAGGAGCCAGUAUGAGCAUCCAGGUUCCGCUAUUGGUUAUUGACCGGAGACGUGUCUCGGUCAUGUCUACAUUGUUCUCGAACCCGUAGGGUCCGCACGCUUAAGGUUUCGAUGACAGUUAUAUUAUGAGUUUAUGAGUUUUGAUGUACCGAAGUUAGUUUAGAGUCCCGGAUGUGAUCACGGACAUGACGAGGAGUCUCGAAAUGGUCGAGACAUAAAGAUUGAUAUAUUGGACGGCUAUAUUCGGACAUCGGAAGUGUUCCGGUGAUUUCGGAGAAAACCGGAGAGCCGGAGGGUUACCGGAACCCCCCCCCCCCGGGAGAUGUAAUGGGCCAUAUGGGCCUUAGUGGAGAGAGAGAGGGGCAGCCAAAGGUGGGCUGCAUGCCUCCUCCCCCUGGUCCGAAUUGGACUAGGAGAGGGGGGGCGGCGCCCAACUUUCCUUCUCCCUCCCCACUUCUUUCCCCCUCCUAGUAGGAGUCCUACUCCUACUAGGAGGAGGACUCCUCCUUGGCGCGCCAUAGGGGCCGGCCGGCCUCCUCCCCUUGAUCCUUUAUAUACGGGGGUAGGGGGCACCCCUAGAAACACAAGUUGAUCCACGUGAUCAUAUUCUCAGCCGUGUGCGGUGCCCCCUUCCACCAUAAUCCUCGAUAAUAUUGUAGCGGUGCUUAGGCGAAGCCCUGCGAAGAUAGUACAUCAAGAUCGUCACCACGCCGUCGUGCUGACGGAACUCUUCCCCGACACUUUGCUGGAUCGGAGUCCGGGGAUCGUCAUCGAGCUGAACGUGUGCUAAAACUUGGAGGUGCCGUAGUUUCGGUGCUUGAUCGGUCGGGCCGUGAAGACGUACGACUACAUCAACCGCGUUGUGCUAACGCUUCCGCUGUCGGUCUACAAGGGUACGUAGAUCACACUCUCCCCUCUCGUUGCUAUGCAUCACCAUGAUCUUGCGUGUGCGUAGGAAUUUUUUUGAAAUUACUACGUUCCCCAACAGUGGCAUCCGAGCCUAGGUUUUAUAUGUUGAUGUUAUAUGCACGAGUAGAACACAAGUGAGUUGUGGGCGAUAUAAGUCAUACUGCUUACCGGCAUGUCAUACUUUGGUUUGGUGGUAUUGUUGGACGAAGCGGCCCAGACCGACAUUACGCGUACACUUACGCGAGACCAGUUCUCCCGACGUGCUUUGCACAUAGGUGGCUUGCGGGUGACAGUUUCUCCAACUUUAGUUGAACCGAGUGUGGCUACGUCCGGUCCUUGCGAAGGUUAAAACAACACCAACUUGACAAACUAUCGUUGUGGUUUUGAUGCGUAGGUAAGAUUGGUUCUUGCUUAAGCCCGUAGCAGCCACGUAAAACUUGCAACAACAAAGUAGAGGACGUCUAACUUGUUUUUGCAGGGCAUGUUGUGAUGUGAUAUGGUCAAGACAUGAUGCUAAAUUUUAUUGUAUGAGAUGAUCAUGUUUUGUAAUCGAGUUAUCGGCAACUGGCAGGAGCCAUAUGGUUGUCGCUUUAUUGUAUGCAAUGCAAUCGCGCUGUAAUGCUUUACUUUAUCACUAAGCGGUAGUGAUAAUCGUGGAAGCAUAAGAUUGGCAAGACGACAACAAUGCUACGAUGGAGAUCAAGGUGUCGCGCCGGUGACGAUGGUGAUCACGAUGGUGCUUCGAAGAUGGAGAUCGCAAGCACAAGAUGAUGAUGGCCAUAUCAUAUCACUUAUAUUGAUUGCAUGUGAUGUUUAUCUUUUAUGCAUCUUAUCUUGCUUUGAUUGACGGUAGCAUUAUAAGAUGAUCUCUCACUAAUUAUCAAGAAGUGUUCUCCCUGAGUAUGCACCAUUGCGAAAGUUCUUCGUGCUGAGACACCACGUGAUGAUCGGGUGUGAUAGGCCCUACGUUCAAAUAUAACAGGUGCAAAACAGUUGCACACGCGGAAUACUCAGGUUAUACUUGACGAGCCAAGCAUAUACAGAUAUGGCCUCGGAACACGGAGACUGAAAGGUCGAGCGUGAAUCAUAUAGUAGAUAUGAUCAACAUAGUGAUGUUCACCAAUGAAACUACUCCAUCUCACGUGAUGAUCAGACAUGGUUUAGUUGAUUUGGAUCACGUAAUCACUUAGAGGAUUAGAGGGAUGUCUAUCUUAAGUGGGAGUUCUUUAAGUAAAUUAAUUGAACCUAAAUUUAUCAUGAAACUUAGUACCUGAUAGUAUCUUGCUUGUUUAUGCUUGACUGUAUAUAGAUGGCUCGUGCUGUUGUUCCUUGAAUUUUAAUGCGUUCCUUGAGAAAGCAAAGUUGAAAGAUGAUGGUAGCAAUUACACGGACUGGGUCCGUAACUUGAGGAUUAUCCUCAUUGCUGCACAGAAGAAUUACGUCCUGGAAGCACCGCUGGGUGCCAGGCCUGCUGCUGGAGCAACACCAGAUGUUAUGAACGUCUGGCAGAGCAAAGCUGAUGACUACUCGAUCGUUCAGUGUGCCAUGCUUUACGUCUUAGAAUCGGGACUUCAACGACGUUUUGAACGUCAUGGAGCAUAUGAGAUGUUCCAGGAGUUGAAGUUAAUAUUUCAAGCAAAUGCCCGGAUUGAGAGAUAUGAAGUCUCCAAUAAGUUCUAUAGCUGCAAGAUGGAGGAGAAUAGUUCUGUCAGUGAGCAUAUACUCAAAAUGUCUGGGUAUAAUAAUCACUUGAUUCAAUUGGGAGUUAAUCUUCCAGAUGAUUGCGUCAUUGACAGAAUUCUCCAAUCACUGCCACCAAGCUACAAGAGCUUCGUGAUGAACUAUAAUGUGCAAGGGAUGAAUAAGACUAUUCCCGAGCUCUUCGCAAUGCUGAAAGCUGCAGAGGUAGAAAUCAAGAAGGAGCAUCAAGUGUUGAUGGUCAACAAGACCACUAGUUUCAAGAAAAAGGGCAAAGGGAAGAAGAAGGGGAACUUCAAAAAGAACAGCAAGCAAGUUGCUACUCAAGAGAAGAAACCCAAACCUAGACCUAAGCUUGAAACUGAGUGCUUCUACUGCAAGCAGACUGGUCACUGGAAGCGGAACUGCCCCAAGUAUUUGGCGGAUAAGAAGGAUGGCAAGGUGAACAAAGGUAUAUGUGAUAUACAUGUUAUUGAUGUGUACCUUACUAAUGCUCACAGUAGCACCUGGGUAUUUGAUACUGGUUCUGUUGCUAAUAUUUGCAACUCGAAACAGGGACUACGGAUUAAGCGAAGAUUGGCUAAGGACGAGGUGAUGAUGCGCGUGUGAAACGGUUCCAAAGUCGAUGUGAUCGCAGUCGGCACGCUACCUCUACAUCUACCUUCGGGGUUAAUAUUAGACCUAAAUAAUUGUUAUUUGGUGCCAGCGUUAAGCAUGAACAUUGUAUCUAGAUCUUGUUUGAUGCGAGACGGUUAUUCAUUUAAAUCUGAGAAUAAUGGUUGUUCUAUUUAUAUGAGUAAUAUCUUUUAUGGUCAUGCACCCUUAAAGAGUGGUCUAUUUUUAUUGAAUCUCGAUAGUAGUGACACACAUAUUCAUAGUGUUGAAGCCUAAAGAUGCAGAGUUGAUAAUGAUAGUGCAACUUAUUUGUGGCACUGCCGUUUGGGUCAUAUCGGUAUAAAGCGCAUGAAGAAACUCCAUACUGAUGGGCUUUUGGAACCACUUGAUUAUGAAUCACUUGGUACUUGCGAACCGUGCCUUAUGGGUAAGAUGACAAAAACACCGUUCUCCGGUACUAUGGAGAGAGCAACAGAUUUGUUGGAAAUCAUACAUACAGAUGUAUGUGGUCCGAUGAACAUUGAGGCUCGUGGCGGAUAUCGUUAUUUUCUCACCUUCACAGAUGACUUAAGCAGAUAUGGGUAUAUCUACUUAAUGAAACACAAGUCUAAACAUUUGAAAAGUUCAAAGAAUUUCAGAGUGAAGUUGAAAAUCAUCAUAACAAGAAAAUAAAAUUCCUACGAUCUGAUCGUGUUGGAGAAUAUUUGAGUUACGAGUUUGGUGUACAUUUGAAAAAUUGUGGAAUAGUUUCGCAACUCACGCCACCCGGAACACCACAGCGUAAUGGUGUGUCCGAACAUCGUAAUCGUACUUUACUAGAUAUGGUGCAAUCUAUGAUGUCUCUUACUGAUUUACCGCUAUCGUUUUGGGGAUACGCUCUAGAGACGGCCGCAUUCACGUUAAAUAGGGCACCAUCAAAAUCCGUUGAGAGGACGCCUUAUGAACUGUGGUUUGGCAAGAAACCAAAGUUGUCGUUUCUGAAAGUUUGGGGCUGCGAUGCUUAUGUGAAAAAGAUUCAACCUGAUAAGCUUGAACCCAAAUCGGAGAAAUGUGUCUUCAUAGGAUAUCCAAAGGAAACUAUUGGAUACACAUUCUAUCACAAAUCCGAAGGCAAGACUUUUGUUGCUAAAUUCGGAAACUUUCUGGAGAAGGAGUUUCUCUCGAAAGAAGUGAGUGGGAGGAAAGUAGAACUUGACGAGGUAACUGUACCUACUCCCUUAUUGGAAAGUAGUACAUCACAAAAACCUGUUUCUGUGACACCUACACCAGUUAGUGAGGAAGCUAAUGAUGAUGAUCAUGAAACUUUAGAACAAGAUACUACUGAACCUCGUAGAUCAACCAGAGUGAGAUCUGUGCCAGAGUGGUACGGUAAUCCUGUUCUGGAAGUCAUGCUACUAGAUCAUGAUGAACCUACGAACUAUCAAGAAGCGAUGGUGAGCCCAGAUUCGGCAAAAUGGCUUGAAGCCAUGAAAUCUGAGAUGGGAUCCAUGUAUGAGAACAAAGUAUGGACUUUGGUUGACUUGCCCGAUGAUCGGCAAGCAAUUGAGAAUAAAUGGAUCUUCAAGAAGAAGACUGACGCUGACGGUAAUAUUACUGUCUACAAAGCUCGACUUGUCGCAAAAGGUUUUCGGCAAGUUCAAGGGAUUGACUACGAUGAGACCUUCUCACCCGUAGCGAUGCUUAAGUCUGUCCGAAUCAUGUUAGCAAUUGCCGCAUUUUAUGAUUAUGAAAUUUGGCAGAUGGAUGUCAAAACUGCAUUCCUGAAUGGAUUUCUGGAAGAAGAGUUGUAUAUGAUGCAACCAGAAGGUUUUGUCGAUCCAAAGGGAGCUCACAAAGUGUGGAAGCUCCAGCAAUCCAUUUAUGGACUGGUGCAAGCCUCUCGGAGUUGGAAUAAACGCUUUGAUAGUGUGAUCAAAGCAUUUGGUUUUAUACAGACUUUUGGAGAAGCCUGUAUUUACAAGAAAGUGAGUGGGAGCUCUGUAGCAUUUCUGAUAUUAUAUGUGGAUGACAUAUUACUAAUUGGAAAUGAUAUAAAAUUUCUGGAUAGCAUAAAGGAAUACUUGAAUAAGAGUUUUUCAAUGAAAGACCUCGGUGAAGCUUCUUACAUAUUAGGCAUUAAGAUCUAUAGAGAUAGAUCAAGACGCUUAAUUGGACUUUCACAAAGCACAUACCUUGACAAAGUUUUGAAGAAGUUCAAAAUGGAUCAAGCAAAGAAAGGGUUCUUGCCUGUGUUACAAGGUGUGAAGUUGAGUAAGACUCAAUGCCCGACCACUGCAGAAGAUAGAGAGAAAAUGAAAGAUGUUCCCUAUGCUUCAGCCAUAGGCUCUAUCAUGUAUGCAAUGCUGUGUACCAGACCUGAUGUGUGCCUUGCUAUAAGUCUAGCAGGGAGGUACCAAAGUGAUCCAAGAGUGGAUCACUGGACAGCGGUCAAGAACAUCCUGAAAUACCUGAAAAGGACUAAGGAUAUGUUUCUCAUAUAUGGAGGUGACAAAGAGCUCAUCGUAAAAGGUUACGUUGAUGCAAGCUUUGACACUGAUCCGGACGAUUCUAAAUUGCAAAACGGAUACGUGUUUACAUUAAACGGUGGAGCUGUCAGUUGGUGCAGUUCUAAACAAAGUGUUGUGGCGGGAUCUACAUGUGAAGCGGAGUACAUAGCUGCUUCGGAAGCAGCAAAUGAAGGAGUCUGGAUGAAGGACUUCAUAUCCGAUCUAGGUGUCAUACCUAGUGCAUCGGGUCCAAUGAAAAUCUUUUGUGACAAUACUGGUGCAAUUACCUUGGCAAAGGAAUCCAGAUUUCACAAGAGAACCAAGCACAUCAAGAUACGCUUCAAUUCCAUCCGGGAUCUAGUCCAGGUGGGAGACAUAGAGAUUUGCAAGAUACAUACGGAUCUGAAUGUUGCAGACCCGUUGACUAAGCCUCUUCCACAAGCAAAACAUGAUCAGCACCAAGGCUCCAUGGGUGUUAGAAUCAUUACUGUGUAAUCUAGAUUAUUGACUCUAGUGCAAGUGGGAGACUGAAGGAAAUAUGCCCUAGAGGCAAUAAUAAAGUUAUUAUUUAUUUCCUUAUAUCAUGAUAAAUGUUUAUUAUUCAUGCUAGAAUUGUAUUAACCGGAAACAUAAUACAUGUGUGAAUACAUAGACAAACGGAGUGUCACUAGUAUGCCUCUACUUGACUAGCUCGUUAAUCAAAGAUGGUUAUGUUUCCUAACCAUGAACAAAGAGUUGUUAUUUGAUUAACGGGAUCACAUCAUUAGGUGAAUGAUCUGAUUGACAUGACCCAUUCCAUUAGCUUAGCACCCGAUCGUUUAGUAUGUUGCUAUUGCUUUCUUCAUAACUUAUACAUGUUCCUAUGACUAUGAGAUUAUGCAACUCCCGUUUGCCGGAGGAACACUUUGUGUGCUUCCAAACGUCACAACGUAAAUGGGUGAUUAUAAAGGUACUCUACAGGUGUCUCCAAAGGUACAUGUUGGGUUGGCGUAUUUCGAGAUUAGGAUUUGUCACUCCGAUUGUCGGAGAGGUAUCUCUGGGCCCUCUUGGUAAUGCACAUCACAUAAGCCUUGCAAGCAUUGAAACUAAUGAGUUAGUUGCGAGAUGAUGUAUUACAGAACGAGUAAAGAGACUUGCCGGUAACGAGAUUGAACUAGGUAUUGAGAUACCGACGAUCGAAUCUCGGGCAAGUAACAUACCGAUGACAAAGGGAACAACGUAUGUUGUUAUGCGGUCUGACCGAUAAAGAUCUUCAUAGAAUAUGUAGGAGCCAAUAUGAGCAUCCAGGUUCCGCUAUUGGUUAUUGACCGGAGACGUGUCUCGGUCAUGUCUACAUUGUUCUCGAACCCGUAGGGUCCGCACGCUUAAGGUUUAGAUGACAGUUAUAUUAUGAGUUUAUGAGUUUUGAUGUACACAAGUUAGUUCGGAGUCCCGGAUGUGAUCACGGACAUGACGAGGAGUCUCGAAAUGGUCGAGACAUAAAGAUUGAUAUAUUGGACGGCUAUAUUCGGACACCGGAAGUGUUCCGGGUGAUUUCCGAGAAAACCGGAGAGCNNNNNNNNNNNNNNNNNNNNNNNNNNNNNNNNNNNNNNNNNNNNNNNNNNNNNNNNNNNNNNNNNNNNNNNNNNNNNNNNNNNNNNNNNNNNNNNNNNNNNNNNNNNNNNNNNNNNNNNNNNNNNNNNNNNNNNNNNNNNNNNNNNNNNNNNNNNNNNNNNNNNNNNNNNNNNNNNNNNNNNNNNNNNNNNNNNNNNNNNNNNNNNNNNNNNNNNNNNNNNNNNNNNNNNNNNNNNNNNNNNNNNNNNNNNNNNNNNNNNNNNNNNNNNNNNNNNNNNNNNNNNNNNNNNNNNNNNNNNNNNNNNNNNNNNNNNNNNNNNNNNNNNNNNNNNNNNNNNNNNNNNNNNNNNNNNNNNNNNNNNNNNNNNNNNNNNNNNNNNNNNNNNNNNNNNNNNNNNNNNNNNNNNNNNNNNNGCGCCCCCCUUUCCUUCUCCCUCCCCACUUCUUUCCCCCUCCUAGUAGGAGUCCUACUCCUACUAGGAGGAGGACUCCUCCUUGGCGCGCCAUAGGGGCCGGCCGGCCUCCUCCCCUUGAUCCUUUAUAUACGGGGGCAGGGGGCACCCCUAGAAACACAAGUUGAUCCACGUGAUCAUAUUCUCAGCCGUGUGCGGUGCCCCCUUCCACCAUAAUCCUCGAUAAUAUUGUAGCGGUUCUUAGGCGAAGCCCUGCGACGAUAGUACAACAAGAUCGUCACCACGCCGUCGUGCUGACGGAACUCUUCCCCGACACUUUGCUGGAUCGGAGUCCGGGGAUCGUCAUCGAGCUGAACAUGUGCUAAAACUCGGAGGUGCCGUAGUUUCGGUGCUUGAUCGGUCGGGCCAUGAAGACGUACGACUACAUCAACCACGUUGUGCUAACGCUUCCGCUGUCGGUCUACAAGGGUACGUAGAUCACACUCUCCCCUCUCAUUGCUAUGCAUCACCAUGAUCUUGCGUGUGCGUAGGAAAUUUUUUGAAAUUACUACGUUCCCCAACAGUACUUGCACCAGAGGCCAACUGCGUCGUACUUGCACUGGACGCCUGUCGCGCCGUUCGCAUGGGUCACAUCAUUCGCAUUGUCCGCGGCCACUUGAUGCCAACGCGCUGGUCGGUAGGCUCGACCGCCUCCUUGGCCCAGGUGUCCACCUGGGCGCAGUAGAGGAACAUGGCCGUCGCAUCCUUGAGCUAGUGAUCUCCGAUGAAAUAGCCAACUUGGAGCUCGAGAUCGCGCUCCAGAUGUACCGCGAGCGUGUCGACCGCUUGGAUGAACACCUGCACGAGUUCAGGCAGAGCCAAGAGCUACCAUAGGCAAGGGCUGCUGCUCAUGGUCUCUUGGACGCGUUUUAUUUUGUUGAUUCGUUUCAACGUGGAUAGCUACAUAUUCGCAGCAAUCAUAGUAUUGCUCUAUUUAUUGCUCUGUUUCAAUGUGUGUACUCUGUUUUCCGUUAUUAUAUGUUCUGUUUCAAUGUGUGUGUAUACGCUUUCCAUUCUAUAUAUGGAUGAUAACAACUAGAUUCAAAUUAGUAUACAAAAAUAGAUAGAAAAUGGAAUUCAUAAUAUAUAUAUAUAUAUAUAUAUUAAUUGUUCAUUAGUUCAUCACAGAAUAUAUAUAUAUAUAUAAUAUCAUCACAUAUAUGUGAUGAUACUUAACUACUAGGUACAAUGCAUAAAAUUGAAAACGAACAAUACUAAGACUAAUAAUCCCUCUUGGGGCCAGUAUUCCGGCAGCCCCUCAACAGUAGCUCCCUGGUGCACGGCGUCUUCCCAGUGCGGAGGUAGUACUCCGCCUCCUUCGCCUCGCAGCGCUUGACGUACUGAUCUCCCUCUUGCAGGCGGACGAGCACGAAUGAUCUUGCCAUUUCAUUGGGCGCCUACCGAAGCUCCUCGCCAGUGGCACGCUAGAGCUUAUCAGCCCACCUCCACGCAGCAAUGAGGCACCCAACGCCUUUGACCUUCCUUGCAAAGUAGUGUCUUCGUACACCUCCUCCGCACGUCGGUGCACCCUCCCCCAAAGCUCCGCCGCCUCCUUUUUCUAGGCGGCAUCACGGGCUUCACAUGCCGCCUGGUACCUGGCUUCCUCCUCCUCCAUCUCCUUCUUGAACGCCACUAGCCUGGCUUUAUCAGCCGGUGGCAACGAUUUCCACAGACAAAGAUUGUACCGGCCCCAAAACCAAUCAAAAGUUGGGGGGUCCGGCACAACCUCGUCCGGCGGCACAUAGGGGUCCUUGUCGCUGCUAUUCGAGUGAGCGUCCUCGGGGGGCGGCGACUCCUCAUCGGCGCGCGGACAGACCGGCGGCGCCAUGGCAGAUAUUUGAGAGAGAGAGAGCGAGUGAGGGGAGCAUGUAGAUGGGAAUGCAGGCGAGACGACGUGAGCAAGGUAGUAUUUAUUGGCGGUCGGAAUCUAGAUUGAUGGGAAUAGUACACACGCCAGUCGCCGGAAUUUACGAGUACUAUAGUUUGAAUUACACACGAUUCCCGGAGCAAAAUCCAUGUGUGAAAUUAAUAGCUGACGGUUUCCAAUACAGAACCAUGUCUAAUUAAUGACCCCCGCCACUCACCUACCAAACCCCGAGCCGCGAAAUAGAGUGUCAAUCGUGUGGGGGCGGUUGUCUUGCCAGAUCUUUACAUUUUCUCUUUUGAACACCAGAUAUUCACAUCGUCUGAUGAUUUUUUAACUCGCACACAAGUACACAAAAAUAUGAUUUUUUAGACUGUUAUGGUUAGCCGUUGCAUGUAGAUGUAGUUCAAAUUUGAAUUUAGGUCAUUAAAAAUGGCUAGAAAAUCACUUAAAUGUCUUUAAAAGGUCAAAUGACCCCUAGAAAAUUCCAAAUUUUCACAUGACAGUUGUAUUAGUGCAUGUUAAACGUAGAAAAAAUUUGAAGGCCGUAAGAGGAAGCUAUCUCCCAUUCGUCAUCAGACAUGCAUUGUUCCCUCUCGGAACCACGAGCCUUCUAAUGAGUUGCUCCGGUUUGUGAGGGGUGUGUGUCCAAAAUUUCGUCAAACAGGCCAAUUUUUUUACCACAUCAUCUUGGUGGCAUGACAUUACAUCAAGCAAGGUUUCAUGUUUUUCUGAUCAUUUUUUUAUUUUUUGGAAUUAAAAUGCCAUGGAACUCCAUGCAUGUGUCCAUGCCGCGAUACCAAUAUGUUUGAAAAUUCCUUCUAAUUUACUGCACAUGGAAUUAACUCGCACACAAGUACACAAAUAUGAUUUUUCAAACUGUUAUGGUUAGCCGUUGCAUGUAGAUGUUAUUCAAAUUUGAAUUACGGUCAUUAAAUGGCCAGAGAAUCACUUCUUUAAAAGGUCAAAUGCCCCCUGAAGUUUUCAAUUUUUUCACAUGACAGUUGUAUUAGUGCAUGUUAAAUGUAGAUAAAAAAUGGAAGGCGGUAAGAGGAAGUUAUCUCCCAUUCGUCAUCAAACAUGCAUUGUUCCCUCCCAGAACAAUGAGCCUUCUAGUGAGUUGCUCUGUUUUGUGAGGGGUGUCUCCAAACUUUCGUUAAACAGACCAUUUUUUACCACAUCAUCUUGGUGGCAUGACAUUACAUCAAGCAAGGUUUCAUGUUUUUCUGAACAUUUUUUUAUUUUUAGGAAUUUGAAUGCCAUGGCACUCCAUGCAUGUGUCCAUGCCGUGAGACCAAUAUGUUUGAAAAUUCCUUCUAAUUUACUGCACAUGGAAUUAACUCGCACACAAGUACACAAAUAUGAUUUUUCAAACCGUUAUGGUUAGCUGUUGCAUGUAGACAUAGUUCAAAUUUGAAUUACAGUCAUUAAAUGGCUAGAAAAACACUUAAAUGUCUUUAAAAGGUCAAAUGACCCCUGAAAUAUUCCAAAUUUUCACAUGACAGUUGUAUUAGUGCAUGUUAAAUGUAGAAAUUUUUUGAAGGCCAUAAGGGGAAGCUAUCUCCCGUUCGUCAUCAAACAUGCAUUGUUCCCUCUCGGAACCACGAGCCUUCUAGUGAGUUGCUCCGGUUUGUGAGGGGGUGUGUCCAAAACUUUUGUCAAACAAGCCAAUUUUUUAACACAUCACCUUGGUGGCAUGAUAUUACAUCAAGCAAGGCUUCAUGUUUUUCUGAUCAUUUUUUUAUUUUUUGGAAUUUAAAUGCCAUGGCACUCCAUGCAUGUGUCCAUUCCAUGAGACCAAUAUGUUUGGAAAGUCCUUCAAAUUUACUACACAUGGAACUAACUCACUCACAAGUACACAAAUAUGAUUUUUCAAACCGUUAUGGUUAGCUGUUGCAUGUGGAUGUAGUUCAAUUUUGAAUUACGGUCAUUAAAUGGCUAGAAAAUCACUUAAAUGUCUUUAAAAGGUCAAAUGUGACCCCUGAAAUUUUCCAAAUUUUCACAUGACAGUUGUAUAAGUAUACGUUAAAUGUAGAAAAAAAUUGAAGGCCGUAAGGGGAAGCUAUCUCCCGUUCGUCAUCAAACAUGCAUUGUCCCCUCUCGGAAACACGUGCCUUCAAGUGAGUUGCUUUGGUUUGUGAGGGGUGUGUGUCCAAACUUUCGUCAAACAUGCCAAAAAAUUUACCACAUCAUCUUGGUGGUAUGACAUUACAUAAAGCAAGGUUUCAUGUGUUUCUGCUCUUCUUUUUUUAAUUAUUUGGAAUUUAAAUGCCAUGGCACUCCAUGCUUAACUGUGUCAUAGCCGUUAGACCAAUAUGUUUGAAAAUUCCUUCCACUUUACUGCACAUGGAAUUAAAUCGCACACAAGUACACAAAAUAUGACUUUUCAAACCAUUAUGGUUAUAUGUUGCAUGUACAUGUAGUUCAAAUUUGAAUUACGAUCAUUAAAUGGAUAGAAAAUCACUUAAAUGACUUAAAUGGUAAAAUGACCCCUGAAAUUUUCCAAAAUUUGACAUGACAUUUGUAUUAGUACUACAAAUUUUCUUGUACAUUUAAAACACCAUCCGUUGCCACUUCACUUCAAAUUCGUCUUUCACAGCUAAUAAAAAAUAUCCACAACAUCACACACAAUUUUUUUGUAGGAACCGUUUGCGAUGAAAAUUUCUAGGUCUAUUUAAGUCUUCCUCCUUAAGCUUCGCCGGUCUGUCUGCUCCAGUGCCGGCAACCCCCAAAUCCAUGAACCCCGAUCCCCAUUCCCACACCCCCUUUUUGCAAAGAUGACGCCGUGGAAACGCUUCGUGAAGGCCUGUACGAUGGCCGCGUCCUCCCCGAGCGUGGCCGCCUGCGCCGAGAGCGCGGCCGCCUACGCUAAGAGUGCCGCCGCAUCCGCAUUGAGCGCGGCGGCAUCCGCGGAGAGGACGUCUGCGGCAGCUGACAUGGCAGCUGUAGCAACCAAGACGGCUGAAGUUGUUGCUGCGACGGCAGCUGCAAACGCCGAGAGCGCUCGAGCUGCCGUCCGUGCCACCGAUGUCGCGCUGGCCCGGGUCAAGGCCAUCCACGCCAAGAUAUUCCAGGCCACCUCAGAAUCCAGCAUGCAACCCAUGUACGAAAAGGCGGCGGUGACCAUGGAUCACCUACUUCCUCAUGAGAUCGCCGAGCGGGAGCUUGAUGCAGGAGGCAGCGGAGAUCGAGGAGCGCGGGAGGAGGAGUUGCGCAUGGCUGAGGUCGAGGUAGAGAAGAGUCUAUCUGUCAAGGAAUUGGUGGUGGAGUACCAACGCGAGCUCUGGCGCAGCCACUACUACAAGUACUAAAACCUUGAGGACGGCGCCGAGGACGAGGAUGAGGACGCGGUCAACUUCAGCAGGGGGGACACGGAGUUCACCAACGGCGACAUUUCGCCAGGACAAGCCAUCGACGUCUCAUCUCACACCGGCGAUGCAUAGGCCGGCAUGGCGGCGGAUUUGUUAAAAUUAUACGUACUUAGGCUUUGUUUUUAAUGCUGGUCUUUUGUUUGAGCAAUGUUUAGGUCAACUGGCUCUAUUUAAUUACUAAAAUUGCUUGAUUCAGUAAGUGUGGUCUAUGUGUUGUACGCUUAUUUGUGUGCCCAAAUUAGCAAGCGAUGUUAAAUUAUGCAAUGAUGUACCCGGAGAAAUUUCCACCAAAAUUUGAAUUAUCAAACUCAUCCCAUGCGCGUAAAGUAGAAGAAUUGUUUGUGAUGCACACAAUCAUUCAAAGUGAAUGGUGUCCAGCGGCACCGCACGCAAAGUUUCCCUCCACAUUUCCAAAAUUUUGGCCUACCGCCAAAAUAUCUACCCCGCCCCCUCCCCCUUCCCCUCCCCCUUUUCUCCCCGACCACAAGUCACAUUUCCCUUGUUUCCUCCUUCCUUCCUAAGCUAUAGCCGCUUCCUCGCUUGCUUCCUCGCUCUCGCCGUCUCGCAUCCUACUGUCGGGGUCGCCAUGGUCUUCUUCAAUGACCUCUCCAGUGGUUCCUCCUCCUCCGACGACUCCUUCAGCACUCGGGUAUGCCUCUCUUCUCUCUCUCUUGGGCUAUGACUUGGAAUGAAGGAUUUUAACCCGGUGGUCGAUUUGAGUCAUUUCUUCCUCUUGUAGCUCCCUAGGACCAUCAGUUGCAACGAAUGGAGUGGGGUGGCUGAAGAUCUGUCUGCUCGUUGUCACCAUCAAUCUCCAUGCGUGAAGCUAGUUGCGUUUGAAUCUGUGGAUAGUGGGAGGAAGUUUCUGGCAUGUGCAGAGAAAGUGAGACCCUCUUUCGUUGUUACAAAUCAUUUGUUAGAUGUGAUUCAGACACUGUCACGGUCCCAACCCAUUCAUACCACACCCUCAACCAAACGCAUCCUAAGACAGUGUCACAAUUUGUACCUAGUAUCUAAAAAUGUUGCCAUCUCAUCAGCGGUGCCAUUUGGAAAUUAUUUGGCACCGCUUCAGUAGUUUGUGGUGCCAACUUUGGUCCACACAUCCGAGCGGCCAAGCAGUAAAAUACUAAAUCAUUAUGGCACGAAGGAAGUGGGCAUCAGAGCAACAAGGUGCUCCCGAGUCCGGGUCCCUGCUUUUUUCCCGCUGCAUCGGCUCGCCAGUGCAGGGCACCAGUGCGAGAUGUAUCAAUAGUUGUCUUCACACCGGUUUGGGCAUACAUAGUGGACGACCUUAGUGCUAUUAGUUCUCUGUUACUAAAUUUGUGCAUGUACACUCCUGUUAGUAUCAAUUUGCUAUCAUCCAAACACUGUCGCUAUGCUGUUGCAGUUAUAUUUACCUUCCUCACAAAAUGUUCAAUUUAUUAUUUAUAGUACAUGAGUAAGAACUUGUAGCAUUGUUGUAGUUAAUUAUAGCUUCUGAUGUUUUAGAAUUUGGUUGUUGUCUCAGUAGCAAUUAAUUCAUUUGCACAUUGAUCUUUUUGAGAAGAUAUGUCAUAAUUAACAUGUUUCUUCAGUUUUUCAAAAUAAGUAUUGGUGAUUUCCUAUGUUGCUAUAAACCCAUUUCCCCUACAAUUGUUACUAAUCUAGUUUUAAAUAUUAUAGGAUGAACAGAAGUGUUCUUACUUGGAGUGGGUUGAUCAAGAGUGGCCACAGUCUUUGAAGAUGUGCCUAGCAAAGCUCUGGAGCAUGUAUGAGGAAGAGAACAGAGGUAGACUUAGAGAAAGUGUUGUCAACGCCGAAGAAUAUUUGAAGAUGCAGGAUAAAAAGAGGAAGGUGGAGAGUUAGCUCAGAUUUUUGAAAUCAGACUUUGCUAAGACGGUGUUGGCGAAGGAGGAGGCACUUUCCUAGUUGGACAGUGCAAAACAUGUUCUUACUGAACUGAAAGCAGAGGUGGAUAAGACGUGCAUGGAUGAUCUUGAUUAGGGAAAUGUAUAUAUUGUUCUAAUAUUGUUCUUAUGAAGUUGAACUAGCUAUAUGUUGUACUGUGUUGUUUUCAGGUAGCUAUCGUACUGUGAUGUUAAAAUAUAUUUAUGUGCCUGAUAUGAACUUGACAAACAGUUGUUCGAUAUGAAAUGUGAAUUUGCGUAAUAUUAGAAUUAUUAAUUGUUAGCUAAUAAACCUGCUAAAUGAGCCAUGGAACUUUGCAAACGGUUAUGGCAGCAAAAGCGCUUGUGAUGGAUAGCCCAAUGCCACACAAUUUUCUUCAACAAAUCGUGUGUGAUGUAGUUGAUAAAAGCAAACGGUUAACCAAGCCAGAGCAUGUGUGAUAGUUUCACCUUUCACACACGAGUCUAUACAUAAAACUGUGUGGGAUGUACAUACGAAUGGAAACGUUUCCCCUGGAUUAACCGUGUGGGAUGUACAUAAUAACGGAAACGUAUUCCUUGGAUUGACUGCAUGUGAUAUACAUACGAACAGAAACAUUUUCCAUGUAUUGACUGUGUGGGAUGUACAUAAGAACGGAAACGUAUUCCUUGGAUUGACUGUGUGUGAUAUACAUAAGAACGGAAAUAUUUUUCUGGGAUUCACCAUGUGGGAUGUACAUACGAACAGAAACGUUGAGUUUCGAUGCCUCGCCCGAUCGUGCACGAGCUCAUUUUGCCCCAGCCUGUGUGCCAGGAGGGCCUAUCCCCGACGGUUUCUGGGUCGUGUGGGAAGGACCACCCUAUCGCCCAUACUCACUUGGCGACGGUUCCAAAUGCCAUCGCGGAAAGGGGUUAAAAACCGUUUGUAUAGCACCACGCGUACCCGUGUAUGUCAAUGCCUUUCCCUUCAAAGAUAAAGGGAAGACCUUCUUCUUGACAUCAUCCUCGGGCAAACCUGCAAGCUUAAAUAAUCCACAAACUUCAUCCACAUAGAUUAGAUGAAAAUUAGGAUGUAGUGUUCCAUCUCCUGCAUAAGGAUUAGCUAGCAGUUUGUCUAUCAUACUCGAAGGAAUUCAUAAUAAAUAUUUUCAGUAGGUUCAGUAGGUUGAGGAGCAACUCUUUGAUCUUUCGGUUGAGGUGAAGAUACCCCGAACAAGCCCCUCAAAGGAUGAUUUUCCAUAGUGAUAAGUGACAGUAAAUUUCAACACGUAAUAUAAAUGUUUCCUUACCAAAUUCCACUUACCAAAGGCGCUUCACUCCACGACAACGGCGCAAGAAAAGAGUCUUGAUGACCCACAAGUAUAGGGGUUCUAUCUGUUGGGUAACGCAAUAUUUCAAAAAAAUUCCUACGAUCACGCAUGAUAUAUCUAGGAGAUGCAUAGCAACGAGUGGGGAGAGUGUGUACACAUACCCUCGUAGACCGAAAGCGGAAGCAUUUAGUAACGCGGUUGAUGUAGUCGAACAUCUUCACAAUCCAACCGAUCCAAGUACUGAACGCAUGGCACCUCCGUGAUCUGCACACGUUCAGCUCGAUGACGUCACUCGAACUCUUGAUCCAGUUGAGGCCAAGGGAGAGUUUCAUCAGCACGAUGGUGUGGUGACGGUGAUGAUGAAGUUACCGACGCAUGGCUUCGCCUAAGCACUACGACAAUAUGACCGAGGUGGAAAACUAUGGAAGGGGGCACCGCACAUGGCAAAGACAAAUCUUUGAGUGCUUUUGGGGUGCCCCUGCCCACGUAUAUAAAGGAGGAGGAAGAGGAGGCCGGCCUAGGAGGGGCGCACCUAUAGGGGGAGUCCAACUAGGAUUCCCAAUCCUAGUUGGAGUCCCCUUCCUUUUCCAAGAGGGGAGAGAGGGAAGAAGUAGGAGAGGGAGAAGGAAAGAGAAGGGGGCGCCACUCCCUCCCUAAUCCAAUUCAGACUUGCCAUGGGGGGUGCGGCCACCCCUUGAGGCCCUUCUCUCCUUUCCAGUAUGGCCCAUUAAGGCCCACUACUUCCCCCGGUGAAUUCCCGUAACUCUCCGGUACUCCGAAAAAUACCCGAAUCACUCGGAACCUUUCCGAUGUCCGAAUAUAGCCUUCCAAUAUAUCGAUAUUUACGUCUUGAUCAUUUCGAGAUUCCUCGUCAUGUCCGUGAUCUCAUCCGGGACUCCAAAAAACCUUCAGUACAUCAAAUCACAUAACUCAUAAUACAAAUCGUCAUCGAACGUUAAGCGUGCGGACCCUACGGGUUUGAGAACUAUGUAGAUAUGACCGAGGCUCAUCUUCGGUCAAUAACUAAUAGCGGAACCUGGAUGCUCAUAUUGGCUCCUACAUAUUGUACGAAGAUCUUUAUCGGUCAAACCGCAUAACAACAUACGUUGUUCCCUUUGUCAUCGUUAUGUUACUUGCCCGAGAUUCGAUUGUCGGUAUCCUCAUACCUAGUUCAAUCUCGUUACCGGCAAGUCUCUUUACUCGUUCCGUAAUGAAUCAUCCCGUAACUAACUCUUUAGUCACAUUGCUUCUAAGGCUUAUAGUGAUGGGCAUUACCGAGAGGGCCCAGAGAUACCUCUCCGACAAUCGGAGUGACAAAUCCUAAUCUGGAUCUAUGCCAACUCAACAAACACCAUCGGAGACACCUGUAGAGCAUCUUUAUAAUCACCCAGUUACGUUGGACGAUCGAUAGCACACUAAGUCUUCCUCCGGUAUUUGGGAGUUGCAUAAUCUCAUAGUCAUAGGAACAUGUAUAAGUUAUGAACAAAGCAAUAGCAAUAAACUAAGCGAUCAUAGUGCUAAGCUAACGGAUAGGUCAAGUCAAUCACAUUAUUCUCUAAUGAUAUGGUCCCAUUCAUCAAAUGACAACUCAUGUCUAUGGUUAGGAAACUUAACCAUCUUUGAUUAACGAGCUAGUCAAGUAGAGGCAUACUAGUGACACUCUGUUUGUCUAUGUAUUCACACAUGUACUAAGUUUCCGGUUAAUACAAUUCUAUCAUGAAUAAGAAACAUUUAUCACGAUAUAAGGAAAUAUAAAUAAAAACUUUAUUAUUGCCUCUAGGGCAUAUUUCCUUGGGUCUCCCACUUGCACUAGAGUCAAAAAUCUAGUUCACAUCAUCAUGUGAUUUAACACCAAUAGUUCACAUCUUUAUGUGAUUAGUUCACAUCUCCAUGUGACUAAUACCCAAAGGGCUUACUAGAGUCAAUAAUCUGGUUCACAUUGCUAUGUGAUUAACACCCAAAGAGUGAUCAUGUUUUGCUUGUGAGAUAAAUUUAGUCAACGGGUCUGCCACAUUCAGAGCCGUACGUAUUUUGCAAAAAAAUGUCUACAAUGCUCUGCAUGCAGAGCUACUCUAGAUAAUUGCUCCCACUUUCAAUAUGUAUCCAGAUUGAGACUCAGAGCCAUCCAGAUCGGUGUCAAAACUUGCAUUGACGUAACUCUUUACGACGAACUUUUUGUCACCUCCAUAACCGAGAAACAUAUCCUUAUUCCACUAAGGAUAAUUCUGACCGAUGUCCAAUGAUCCACUCCUAGAUCACUAUUGUACCCUCUUGCCAAACUCUUGGUGAGGUACACAACAGGUCUGGUACACAGCAUAGGGAAUGCCUUUUCAUUCUCUUUCUAUUUUCUGCCGUGGUCGGGUUUUUGAGUCUUUACUAAACUUCACACCUUCCAACACAGGCAAGAACUCCUUCUUUGACUGUUCCAUUUGGAACUACUAAAAAUCUUGUCAAGGUAUGUACUCAUUGAAAAAUAUAUCAAGCAUCUUGAUUUAUCUCUAUAGAUAUUGAUGCUCAAUAUGCAAGUAGCUUCACCGAGGUCUUUCUUUGAAAAACUCCUUUCAAACACUCCAUUAUGCUUUCCACAAAAUUCUACAUCAUUUCUGAUCAACAAUAUGUCAUUAACAUAAACUUAUCAGAAAGGUUGUAGUGCUCCCACUCACUUUCUUGUAAAUACAGGCUUCACCGCAAGUCUAUAUAAAACCAUAUGCUUUGAUCACUUUAUCAAAGCAUAUAUUCCAACUCCGAGCUGCUUGCACCAGUCCAUAGAUGGAUCGCUGGAGCUUGCACACUCUGUUAGCACCUUUAGGAUUGACAAAACCUUCUUAUUGCAUCAUAUACAUCUCUUCUUUAAGAAAUCCAUUAAGGAAUGCAGUUUUGACAUCCAUUUGCCAGAUUUCAUAAAAUGUGGCAAUUGCUAACAUGAUUCGGACAGACUUAAGCAUCGCUAUGAGUGAGAAAAUCUCAUCGUAGUCAACAUCUUGAACUUGUCGAAAACCUUUUACGACAAUUCGAGCUUUGUAUAUAGUAAUACUACUAUCAAUGUCUGUCUUCCUCUUGAAGAUCCAUUUAUUCUCAAUGGCUUGCCGAUCAUUGGGCAAGUCAACCAAAGUACACACUUUGUUCUCAUACAUGGAUCCCAUCUCAGAUUUCAUGGCCUCAAGCCAUUUUGCGGAAUCUGGGCUCAUAAUCGCUUCCUCAUAGUUCGUAGGUCCGUCAUGGUCUAGGAACAUGACUUCCAGAAAGGAUUACCAUACCACUCUGGUGCGGACCAUACUCUGCUUGACCUACGAGGUUCGGUAAUAAAUUGAUCUGAAGUUUCAUGAUCAUCAUCAUUAGCUUCCUCACUAAUUGGCGUAGUAAUCACUAGAACUGAUUUCUGUGAUGAACCACUUUCCAAUUCGGGAGAAGGUACAAUUACAUCAUCAAGUUCUACAUUCCUCCCACUCACUUCUUUCGAGAGAACUUCUUCUCUAGAAAUGAUCCAUUCUUAGCAACGAAUAUCUUGCCUUCGGAUCUGUGAUAGAAGGUGUACCCAACAGUUUCCUUUGGGUAUCCUAUGAAGACGCAUUUCUCCGAUUGGGCUUCGAGCUUAUCAGGUUGAAACUUUUUCACAUAAGCAUCAUAGCCCCAAACUUUAAUAAACGACAACUUAGGUUUCUUGCUAAACCACAGUUCAUAUGGUGUCGUCUCAACGGAUUUAGAUGGUGCCCUAUUUAACGUGAAUGUAGUUGUCUCUAAUGCAUAGCCCCAAAAUGAUAGUGAUAAAUCGGUAAGAUACAUCAUAGAUCGCACCAUAUCUAAUAAAGUACGGUUAUGACGUUCGGCCACACCAUUACGCUGUGGUGUUCCAGGUGGCGUGCGUUGCGAAACUAUUCCACAUCGUUUCAAAUGAAGACCAAACUCGUAACUGAAAUAUUCGUCUCCGCGAUCAGAUCAUAGAAACUUUAUUUUCUUGUUACGAUGAUUUUCCACUUUACUCUGAAAUUCUUUGAACUUUUCAAAUGUUUCAGACUGUUGUUUUAUUAAGUAGAUAUACCCAUAUCUGCUCAAAUCAUGUGUGAAGGUCAGAAAAUAACGACACCCGCCGCGAGCCUCAACACUUAUCGGAUCACAUACAUCAGUAUGUAUUAUUUCCAAUAAGUCAGUUGCUUGCUCCAUUGUUCCGAAGAAUGGAGUCUUAGUCAUCUUGCCCAUGAGGCAUGGUUCGCAAGCAUCAAAUGAUUCAUAAUCAAGUGAUUCCAAAAGCCCAUCAGCAUGGAGUUUCUUCAUGCGCUUUACACCAAUAUGACCUAAACGGCAGUGCCACAUAUAAGUUGCACUAUCAUUAUUAACUUUGCAUCUUUUGGCUUCAAUAUUAUGAAUAUGCGUAUCACUGCGAUUGAGAUUCAAUAAACCAUUUAUAUUGAGUGUAUGACCAUAGAAGGUUUUAUUCAUGUAAAUAGAACAACAAUUAUUCUUUGACUUAAAUGAAUAAUCAUAUUUGCAAUAAACAUGAUCUAGUCAUAUUUAUGCUCAACGCAAACACCAAAUAACAUUUAUUUUAGGUUCAACACUAAUCCCGAAGGUAAAGGGAGUGUGCAAUGGUGAUCUUAUCAACCUUGGAAUCACUUCCAACACACAUCAUCACCUUGCCCUCAACUAGUUUCUGUUCAUUUUGUAACUCCUAUUUCAAGUUACUAAUCAUAGCAACUGAACCAGUAACAUAUACCCAGGGGCUAUUAUGAACACUAGUAAAGUACACAUCGAUAAUCUGUACAUCAAAUAUACCUUUGUUCACUUUGCCAUAUUUCUUAUCCGCCAAGUAUUUGGGGUAGUUCCGCUUCGAGUGACCAUUCCCUUUGUAGUAGAAGCACUCGGUUUCAUGCUUAGGUCUAGCUUUGGGUUUCUUCAUGGGAGUGGCAACUUGCUUGCCAUUCUUUGAAGUUCCCUUUCUUUUCCUUUGCCCCUUUUUCUUGAAACUAGUGGUCUUGUUAACCAUCAACACUUGAUGCUCUUUCUUGAAUUCUACCUUCGCUGAUUUCAGCAUCACGAAGAGCUUGGGAAUCGUUUUCGUCAUCCCUUGCAUAUUAUAGUUCAUCACGAAGUUCCAGAAAUUGGUGAUAGUGACUAGAGAACUCUGUCAAUCACGAUCUUAUCUAGAAGAUUAACUCCCACUUGAUUCAAGCGAUUGUAGUACUCAGACAUUCUGAGCACAUGCUCACUGGUUGAGCUAUUCUCCUCCAUCUUGUAGGCAAAGUACUUGUCAGAGGUCUCAUACCUCUCGACUCGGGCAUGAGUCUGAAAUACCAAUUUCAGCUCUUGGAACAUCUUAUAUGCUUUGUGGCGUUCAAAACGGUUUUUGAAGUCCCGGUUCUAAGCCCUAAAGCAUGGCACACUAAACUAUCAACUAGUCAUCAUAUCAAGCUUGCCAAACGUUCAUAACGUCUGCAUCUUCUCCUGCAAUAGGUCUGUCACCUAGCGGUGCAUCAAGGACAUAAUUCUUCUGUGCAAAAAUGAGGAUAAUCCUUGGAUCAUGGACCUAGUCCGCAUCAUUGCUACUAUCAUCUUUCAGCUUAUUUUUCUCUACAAAAAUAUAAAACAGGGGAGCUAUAUGUGAGCUAUUGAUCUACAACAUAGAUAUGCAAAAACUACCAGGACUAAGUUCAUGAUAAAUUAAAGUUCAAUUAAUCAUAUUACUUAAGAACUCCCACUUAGACAGGCAUCGCUCUAAUCAUCUAAGUGAUCAUGUGAUCUAUACCAACUAAACCAUGCCCGAUCAUCACGUGAGAUGGAGUAGUUUUCAAUGGUGAACAUCACUAUGUUGAUCAUAUCUACUAUAUGAUUCAUGCUCGACCUUUCAGUCUCAGUGUUCCGAGGCCAUAUCUGCAUAUGCUAGGCUCGUCAAGUUUAACCCGAGUAUUUUGCAUGUGCAAAACUGGCUUGCACCCGUUGUAUGUGAACGUAGAGCUUAUCACACCCGAUCAUCACGUGGUGUCUCAGCACGACGAACUGUAGCAAUGGUGCAUACUUAGGGAGAACACUUGUACCUUGAAAUUUAGUGAGAGAUCAUCUUAUAAUGCUACCGCCGAACUAAGCAAAAUAAGAUGCAUAAAGGAUAAACAUCACAUGCAAUCAUAUAAGUGAUAUGAUAUGGCCAUCAUCAUCUUGUGCCUUUGAUCUCCAUCUCCAAAGCACCAUCAUGAUCACCAUCAUCACUGGCUUGACACUUUGAUCUCCAUCGAAGCAUCGUUGUCGUCCCGCCAACUAUUGCUUCUACGACUAUCGCUACCGCUUAGUGAUAAAGUAAAGCAAUUACAUGGCGAUUGCAUUUCAUACAAUAAAGCGACAACCAUAUGGCUCCUGCCAGUUGCUGACAACUGUUACAAAACAUGAUCAUCUCAUACAACAAAUUAUAUAUCAUCAGGUCUUGACCAUAUCACAUCACAACAUGCCCUGCAAAAACAAGUUAGACGUCCUCUACUUUGUUGUUGCAAGUUUUACGUGGCUGCUACGGGCUUCUAGCAAGAACCGUUCUUACCUACGGCAUAAAAACCACAACGUGGUAUAGUGAUUGCUUUUUGAUCUUCAGAAAGAACCCUGUUCAUUGAAUCCAAUUCAACGAAAGUUGGAGAAACUGACACCGGCUAGCCACCUAUGUGCAAAGCACGUCGGUAGAACCAGUCUCAUGAACGCAGUCAUGUAAUGUCGGUCCGGGCCGCUUCAUCCAACAAUACCGCCGAAUCAAUAAACAACUAGUGACAGCAAGCAAUAUUUAUAUACCCACGCCCACGACUCCUUUGUGUUCUACUCGUGCAUAUAACAUCUACGCGUAGACAUAGCUCAGAUGUCACUGUUGGGGAACGCAGUAUUUCAAAAAAAAUUCCUACGAUCACGCAAGAUCUAUCUAGGAGAUGCAUAGCAAUGAGCGGGGAGAGUGUGUCCGCGUACCCUCGUAGACCGAAAGCAGAAGCGUUUAGUAACGCAGUUGAUGUAUGAUACGUCUCCAACGCAUCUAAAUUUUUUAUUGUUCCAUGCUAUUAUAUUAUCUGUUUUGGAUGUUUAAUGGGCUUUAAUAUGCACUUUUAUAUUAUUUUUGGGACUAACCUAUUAACCAGAGGCCCAGUGCCAGUUUCUGUUUUUUUGUGCCUAUUUUAGUGUUUCGUAGUAAAGGAAUAUCAAACGGAAUCCAAACGGAACGAAACCUUCGUGAGGAUCUUUCUUGGAACAAAUGCAAACCAGGAGACUUGGAGUUGAAGUCUGGAACUCCAUGAAGCUUCCACGAGGCAGUAGGGCACGCCCAGGGGGUAGGCGCGCCCCCCACCUUCGUGGGCCCCACGGAGUUCCAUUGACGUACUUCUUUCACCUAUAUAUACUCUUAUACCCCAAAAACAUCAAGGGGAGCCACGAAACCACUUUUCCACCGCCGCAACCUUCUGUACCCAUAAGAUCCCAUUUGGGGCCUUUUUUGGCGAUCUGCCGGAGGGGGAUUCGAUCACUGAGGCCUUCUACAUCAACACCAUAGCCUCUCCGAUGAUGUGUGAGUAGUUUACCACAGACCUUCGGGUCCAUAGUUAUUAGCUAGAUGGCUUCUUCUCUCUCUUUGGUUCUCAAUACAAAGUUCUCCUCGAUGUUCUUGGAGAUCUAUUCAAUGUAAUUCUUUUUGCGGUGUGUUUGCCGAGAUCCGAUGAAUUGUGGAUUUAUGGUCAAGUUUAUCUAUGAACAAUAUUUGGUUCUUAUCUGAAUUCUUAUAUGCAUGAUUUGAUAUCUUCACAAAUCUCUUCGAAUUAUCGGUUUAGUUUGGCCUACUAGAUUGAUCUUUCUUGCAAUGGGAGAAGUGCUUAGCUUUGGGUUCAAUCUUGCGGUGUCCUUUCCCAGUGACAGUAGGGGCAGCAAGGCACGUAUUGUAUUGUUGCCAUCGAGGAUAAAAAGGUGGGGUUUAUAUCAUAUUGCUUGAGUUUAUCCCUCUACAUCAUGUCAUCUUGCCUAAAGCAUUACUUUGUUCCUAAUACUCUAGAUGCAUGCUGGAUAGUGGUCGAUGUGUGGAGUAAUAGUAGUAGAUGCAGAAUUGUUUCAUUCUACUUAACAUGGAUGUGAUGCCUAUAUUUCUUAAUCAUUGCCUAGAUAUUCUCAUCACUAUGCGCUCUUCUAUCAAUUGAUCGGCAGUAAUUUGUUCACCCAUCGUAAUACAUGCUAUCAUGAGAGAAGCCACUAGUGAAACCUAUGGCCCCCAGGUCUCUUCCUUAUUAUAUUAUAUCUCUUUUAUUAUUGCAUAUCGUUUACUAUUUUGCAAUCUAUACAACAAAAAUACCAAAAAUGUUUACCUUAUUAUCUUUAUCAGAUAUCACUUCCGCAAGUGACUGUGAAGGGAUUGACAACCCCUUUAUCGCAUUGGUUGUGAGGUUCUUGAUUGUUUGUGUAGGUACUGGGUGACUUGCGUGUUAUCUCCUACUGGAUUGAUACCUUGGUUCUCAAAAACUGAGGGAAAUACUUAUGCUACUUUGCUGCAUUACCCUUUCCUCUUCAAGGGAAAACCAACACAUGCUCAAGAGGUAGCAAGAAGGAUUUCUGGCGCCGUUGCCCAGGAGAUUUACGCUCAAGUCAAGACAUACCAAGUACCCAUCACAAACUCUUCUCCCUCGCAUUACAUUAUUCGCCAUUUGCCUCUCGUUUCCUCUCCCCCACUUCACCUUUGCCAUUUUAUUUGCCCCUUUUCCGUUUGUAUCUUUUUGCUCGCUUCUUGUGUGCUUGUGUGUUAGAUCUUUUAUUUGCCCUCAUGGCUAGUUCUCCUAUCAUUGUUAACACUCCCGAUAAUGAAGUUCUUAAUUUUAAAUAAAGGGAUGGAGAAAAUCUAAAAGAUGCUUGGUAUAGAAUUUGCAAUGCUCAAAAUAGAUCUACUAAAAAGAAAUCUACUUCCGUUCUUCUUCACAAUUUUUACGUAGGCAUCACUCCUUGGUAUAUAUAUGUUCUUGACACCAUUACUGGAGGGAAUUUCUUGGGAACCAUACUUUCGAUUCUUAUAAUGCUAUGAUAGAUUUGUUAGGCCCACCACCUCUUUUGGUAAUGGAACUAUUUUAACUUUGGAACAUGUGAUGCAAAGGCUUGAUAUUAUUGAAAAUAAAAUUGCCACUGUAGAGUUAAUCGAAAAUUUGGAUAAAAAGAUUCACAACCAAAUUACUCAAUAUGGAUCUGAGGUAGGAGUUACUCUGAAAAAUCUUAAGGAAAAGGAACCCAUAGCCAAUGAGAAGAUAGAUCAAGAUUCCAUUAGAAUUGAUAAACUCAAAGAUAUCAUUACCAACUUGGGGUCCGCCUUCUCUUCCGUUAAAAAUACCUCAAAUACUCCUCCUACCAAAGUUGCCAAAUUUAUGUUCCUAAAAUAAGGGUGAAUCUUCGAGUAAGAAAAAUGAAUAUCUUAAAUCAAUAAGUGUUCACCCCAACUUUUUAGAUAUCAUUAAGGAACCUUUUGCUACAAAUGAAUUUCUUGAUUUCCUACCUAGGAGUUUGAUCAUUAGCAAAAACAAAGAACCUCCUAAGGGUUAUAAGUGUUCAAUUGAAGAAUUGCAUACCGAAGAUGACAAUACCUAGAUCUAUUCUUGCUUUUAUGCCUAGCUAGGGGCGUUAAACGAUAGCGCUUGUUGGGAGGCAACCCAAUUUUAUUUUUGUUCUUUACUUUUUGUUCCUGUUUAGUAAUAAGUAGUUUAUCUAGCCUCUGUUAUGAUUGUGUUUUUUAUGUUUUAAUUAGUGUUUGUGCCAAGUAAAGCCUUUAGGAUCUUCUUGGGUGAUUGUUGUUUGAUCUUGCUGAUAAAAACAGAAAGUAUGCGCUCACGAGAAUAAUUUUCAUAUUUUACCAAAGAGCGAUAAAAUACCAAUUCCAACUGCAGUAGAUCAAUAUACAAAUUAUUUAGGCCAUCCUAAUUUUUCAGAAAUUUUGGAGUCACAUAAGUAUUAGAAACCUCCAGAUUGCUACAGACUGUUCUGUUUUGACAGAUUCUGUUUUUCGUGUGUUGUUUGCUUAUUUUGAUGAAACUAUGGCUAGUAUCGGGGGGUAUGAACCAUAGAGAAGUUGGAAUACAGUAGGUUUAACACCAAUAUAAAUAAAGAAUGAGUUAAUUACAGUACAUUAAAGUGGUGGUUUGUUUUCUUAUACUAACGUAGCUCAUGAGAUUUUCUGUUGAGUUUUGUGUUGUGAAGUUUUCAAGUUUUUGGGUAAAGAUUUGAUGGAUUUUGGAACAAGGAGUGGCAGGAGCCUAAUCUUGAGGAUUCCCAAGGCACCCCAAGGUAAAAUUCAAGGACAACCAAAAUCCUAAACUUGGGGAUGCCCCGGAAGGCAUCCCCUCUUUCUUCUUCAUCUAUCGGUAACUUUACUUGAGGCUAUAUUUUUAUUCACCACAUGAUAUGUGUUUUGCUUGGAGCGUCUUGAUUUCAGUCUUUGCUUUUUAGUUUACCACAAUCAUCCUUUCUGUACACACCUUUUGGGAGAGACACACAUGAAUCAGAAUUUAUCAGAAUACUCUAUGUGCUUCACUUAUAUCUUUUGAGCUAGAUAAUUUUGCUCUAGUGCUUUGCUUAUAUCUUUUUAGAGCACAGUGGUGGUUUUAUUUUAUAGAAAUUUUUGAUCUCUCAUGCUUCACUUAUAUUAUUUUGAGAGUCUUUUAGAACAACAUGGUAAUUUGCUUUGGUUAUAAAAUUUGUCCUAAUAUGAUAGGCAUCCAAGAUGGGUAUAAUAAAAACUUUCAUAUAGAGUGCAUUGAAUAGUUUGAUACUUGAUAAUUGUUUUGGGAUAUAAAGAUGGUAAUAUUAGAGUCAUGCUAGUUGAGUAAUUGUGAAAUUGAGAAAUACUUGUGUUGAGGUUGGCAAGUCCCAUAGCAUGCACGUAUGGUAACCGUUGUGUAACAAAUUGAAGCAUGAGGUGUUCUUUGAGUGCCUUCCUUAUGAGUGGCAGUCGGGGACGAGCGAUGGUCUUUUCCUACCAAUCUAUCCCGCUAGGAGCAUGCACGCAGUGCUUGGUUUUGAUGACUUGUAGAUUUUUGCAAUAAUUAUGUGAGUUCUUUAUGACUAAUGUUGAGUUCAUGGAUUAUACACACUCUCACCCUUCCACCAUUGCUAGCCUCUCUUGUGCCACACAACUUUCACCGGUACCAUAAACCCAUCAUUUACCUUCCUCAAAACAGCCACCAUACCUACCUAUUAUGGAAUUUCCAUAGCCAUUCCGAGAUAAAUUGCCAUGCGACUUUCCACCGUUCCGUUUAUUAUGGUAUGCUUCAUCAUAGUCAUAUUGCUUUGCAUGAUCAUGUAGUUGACAUCGUAUUUGUGGCAUGGCCACCAUUCAUAAUUUUUUAUACAUGUCACUCUUGAUUCAUUGCACAUCCCAGUACACCGCCGGAGGCAUUCACAUAGAGUCAUAUUUUUUUCUAAGUAUCAAGUUGUAAUUCUUGAGUUGUAAGUAAAUAAAAGUGUGAUGAUCUUCAUUAUUAGAGCAUUGUCCCAUGUGAGGAAAGGAUGAUGGAGACUAUGAUUCCCCCACAAGUCGGGAUGAGACUCCGGAUGAAAAAAAGAGGCCAUAAAAAAGGGAGAAAGCCCAAACAAAAAAAAUAAAAAUAAUAAAUAAAUGAGAGAAAAAGAGAGUAAGGGGCAAUGUUACUAUCCUUUUUCCACACUUGUGCUUCAAAGUAGCACCAUGAUCUUCAUGAUAGAGAGUCUCUUAUGUUGUCACUUUCAUAUACUAGUGGGAAUUUUACAUUAUAGAACUUGGCUUGUAUAUUCCAAUGAUGGGCUUCCUCAAAUUACCCUAGGUCUUCGUGAGCAAGCAAGUUGGAUGCACACCCACUUAGUUGCUUUUGUUGAUUUUUCAUACACUUAUAGCUCUACUACAUCUAUUGCAUGGCAAUCCCUACUCACUCACAUUGAUAUCUAUCGAUGGGCAUCUCCAUAGCCCAUUGAUACGCCUAGUUGAUGUGAGACUAUCUUCCUCCCUUUUGUCUUCUCCACAACCACCAUUCUAUUCCACCCAUAGUGCUAUGUCCAUGGCUCGCGCUCAUAUAUUGCGUAAAAGUUGAAAAAGUUUGAAAAGGCUAAGUAUGAAACAAUUGCUUGGCUUGUCAUCGGGGUUGUGCAUGAUGGGAGCAUUUUGUGUGAUAGAAAUGAAGCAUGGCCAAACUAUAUGAUUUUGUAGGGAUGAGCUUUCUUUGGCUAUGUUAUUUUGAGAAGACAUAAUUGCUUCGUUAGUAUGCUUGAAGUAUUAUUAUUUUUAUGUCAAUAUUAAACUUUUGUCUUGAAUCUUUGGGUCUGAACAUUCAUGACACAAUAAAUAAAAUUACAUUGAAAAUCAUGUUAGGUAGCAUUCCACAUCAAAAAUUCUGUUUUUAUCAUUUGCCUACUCAAGGACGACCAGGAAUUAAACUUGGGGAUGCUUGAUACAUCUCCAACGUAUCUAUAAUUUUGGAUUGUUCCAUGCUAUUAUAUUAUCUGUUUUGGAUGUUUAUGGGCUUCAAUAUGCACUUUUAUAUUAUUUUUGGGACUAACCUAUUAACCGAAGGCCCAGUGCUAGUUUCUGUUUUUUUGCCUAUUUUAGUGUUUCGCGGAAAAGGAAUAUCAAACGGAAUGAAACCUUCACGAGGAUCUUUCUUGGAACAAACGCAAACCAGGAGACUUGGAGUUGAAGUCUGGAACUCCGUGAAGCUUCCACGAGGCAGGAGGGCGCGCCCAAGGGGCGUAGGCGCGCCCCACCCUCGUGGGCCCCACGGAGCUCCACCGACGUACUUCUUUCGCCUAUAUAUACUCUUAUACCCCAAAAACAUCAAGGGGAGCCACAAAACCACUUCUCCACCGCCGCAACCUUCUGUACCCGUGAGAUCCCAUCCGGGGCCUUUUUCGGCGAUCUGUCGGAGGGUGAUUCGAUCACUGAGGCCUUCUACAUCAACACCAUAGCCUCUCCGAUGAUGUGUGAGUAGUUUACCAUAGGCAUUUGGGUCCAUAGUUAUUAGCUAGAUGGCUUAUUCUCUCUCUUUGGUUCUCAAUACAAAGUUCUCCUCGAUGUUCUUGGAGAUCUAUUCGAUGUAAUUCUUUUUGCGGUGUGUUUGCCAAGAUCCGAUGAAUUGUGGAUUUAUGGUCAAGUUUAUCUAUGAACAAUAUUUGGUUCUUAUCUGAAUUCUUAUAUGCAUGAUUUGAUAUCUUCACAAGUCUCUUUGAAUUAUCGGUUUAGUUUGGCCUACUAUAUUGAUCUUUCUUGCAAUGGGAUAAGUGCUUAGCUUUAGGUUCAAUCUUGCGGCGUCCUUUCCCAGUGACAGUAGGGGCAGCAAGGCACGUAUUGUAUUGUUGCCAUCGAGGAUAAAAAGAUGGGGUUUAUAUCAUAUUGCUUGAGUUUAUCCCUCUACAUCAUGUCAUCUUGCCUAAAGCAUUACUCUGUUCUUAUGAACUUAAUACUCUAGAUGCAUGCUGGAUAGCGGUCGAUGUGUGGAGUAAUAGUAGUAGAUGCAGAAUCGUUUCGGUCGACUUAACAUGGACGUGAUGCCUAUAUUUCAUAAUCAUUGCCUAGAUAUUCUCAUAACUAUGCGCUCUUCUAUCAAUUGCUCAGCAGUAAUUUGUUCACCCACCGUAAUACAUGCUAUCAUGAGAGAAGCCACUAGUGAAACCUAUGGCCCCCGGGUCUCUUCCUUAUUAUAUUGCAUCUCUUUUACUAUCGCAUCUUGUUUACUAUUUUGCAAUCUAUACAACAAAAAUAACAAAAAUAUUUACCUUACUAUCUUUAUCAGAUCUCACUUUCGCAACUGACCGUGAAGGGAUUGACAACCCCUUUAUCGCGUUGGUUGCGAGGUUCUUGAUUGUUUGUGCAGGUACUAGGUGACUUGCGUCUUAUCUCCUACUGGGUUGAUACCUUGAUACUCAAAAACUAAGGGAAAUACUUAUGCUACUUUGCUGCAUCACCCUAUCAUCUUCAAGGGAAAACCAACGCAUUCUCAAGAGGUAGCAAUGUAGUCGAACAUCUUCGCGAUCCAACCAAUCCAAGUACCGAACGCACGACACCUCCGUGAUCUGCACACGUUCAACUCGGUGAAGUCCCUCGAACUCUUGAUCCAGUUGAGGCCGAGGAAGAGUUUCGUCAGCACGACGGCGUGGUAACGGUGAUGAUGAAGUUACCGACGCAAGGCUUCGCCUAAGAACUACGACAAUAUGACCGAGGUGGAAAAUUGUGGAAGGGGGCACCACACAUGGGUAAGACAAAUCUUUGAGUGCCUUUGGGGUGCCCUCCUGCCCACGUAUAUAAAGGAGGGGGAAGAGGAGUCCGGCCUAGGAGUGGAGCACCUAUAGGGGGGUCCAACUAGGAUUCCCAAUCCUAGUUGGAAUCCCCUUCCUUUUCCAAGAGGGGAGAGAGGGAAGGAGUAGGAGAGGGAGAAGGAAAGAGAGGGGGCGUCGCCCCCUCCCUAGUCCAAUUCGGACUUCCCAUGGGGGGCGCGCGGCCACCCCCUUGAGGCCCUUCUCUCCUCUCCCGUAUGGCCCAUUAAGGCCCAGUACUUCCCCCGGCGAAUUCCUAUAACUCUACGGUACUUCGAAAAAUACCCGAAUCACUCGGAACCUUUUCGAUGUCUGAAUAUAGCCUUCCAAUAUGUCGAUCUUUAUGUCUCGACCAUUUUGAGAUUCCUCGUCAUGUCCGUGAUAUCAUCUGGGACUCCGAACAAUCUUAGGUACAUCAAAUCACAUAACUCAUAAUACAAAUCGUCAUCAAACGUUAAGCAUGCGGACCCUAUAGGUUCGAGAACUGUGUAGACAUGACCGAGACACAUCUCCGGUCAAUAACCAAUAGAGGAACCUGGAUGCUCAUAUGGCUCCUACAUAUUGUACGAAGAUCUUUAUCGGUCAAACCGCAUGAGGGAGUCCUGGAUUAGGGGGUCUCCGGACAGCCGGACUAUAUCCUUUGGCCGGACUGUUGGACUAUGAAGAUACAAGAUUGAAGACUUCGUCUCGUGUUCGGAUGGGACUCUAUUUGGCGUGGAAGGCAAGCUAGGCAAUACGGAUAUGGAUAUCUCCUUCUUUGUAACCGACCUUGUGUAACCCUAACCCUCUCCGGUGUCUAUAUAAACCGGAGGGUUUUAGUCCGUAGGACAACAACUACAACAUACAAUCAUACCAUAGGCUAGCUUCUAGGGUUUAGCCUCUCUGAUCUCGUGGUAGAUCUACUCUUGUACUACCCAUAUCAUCAAUAUUAAUCAAGCAGGACGUAGGGUUUUACCUCCAUCAAGAGGGCCCGAACCUGGGUAAAACAUCGUGUUCCCUGCCUCUUAUUACCAUCUGGCCUAGACGCACAGUUCGGGACCCCCUACUCGAGAUCCGCCGGUUUUGACACCGACAUUGGUACUUUCAUUGAGAGUUCCUCUGUGUCGUCGUCGUUAGGCUUGAUGGCUCCUACUAUCAUCGAUAGCGAUGCAGUCCAGGGUGAGACUUUUCUCCCCGAACAGAUCUUCGUCUUCGGCGGCUUUGCACUGCGGGCCAAUUCGCUUGGCCAUCUGGAGCAGAUUGAAAGUUACGCCCCUGGCCACCAGGUCAGGUUUGGAAGCUUAAACUACAUGGCCGAUAUCCGUGGAGACUUGAUCUUCGACGGAUUCGAGCCUCUGCCUUGCAUGUCACAUGGUCACGAUGAGUACGAUUUAGCUCUAACAUCGGACAGUGUUCAGGAGAUCGCACCGGCAGCCGCUCCGACCCUCAAUUCGGAGCUAGUUGCGCCUUCCGUGGACGGGUGGAUGGACCCCGCCACGGAGGCCUUACCCUCAACAGCGAUCAAGCCGAACAUCGACCUUACCUUGCACGAGAGCCGUGUUGUUAAACUGCUGGAUCCUUCUUCGGCCACGGACUCCGAACCGCCUGCGCCCGUUCCUAUCGAAUCUGAUUGGGCGCCGAUCAUGGAGUUUACCUCCGCGGAUAUUUUUCAGCACUCACCCUUUGGCGACAUACUGAACUCAUUAAGAUCUCUCUCCUUGUCAGGAGGAUCCUGGCCGAACUAUGUCCGGCAGGACUGGGAUGCGGACGACGAAGAAAUUCGAGGCCCACCCACCACCCACUUAGUAGCCACUGUCGAUGACUUAACCGACAUGCUCGACUUCGACUCCGAAGACAUCGACGGUAUGGACGACGAUGCGGGAGGCGAAGAGGAACCACCGCCCACAGGGCACAGGACAGCCACCUCAUCAUACGAUAUAUACAUGGUGGGUACACCCAAAGAAGGCAAUGGCGACGAGAUAGCGGAGGAUGACCCCUCCAAGAAGCAACCCAAGCGCCGACGUCAGCGGCGCCGCUCUAAGUCCCGCCAUAGCAAAAGUGGUGAUACCGGCACAGGAGAUAAUAACACUCCGGAUAGUGCCAAAGACAACAAAAAUCCCCUCCAGCAAGAUUUAGAGCAGGAGGAUGGAGGAGCCAGCCCUCCUGAGAGAGCGGCAGACGGAGAGGAGGAGGAUGAUAAUUACAUGCCCCCCUCCGAAGACGAGGCAAGCCUCGGCGACGACGAAUUCGCCGUACCAGAGGAUCCCGUCGAACAAGAGCGCUUCAAGCGCCGGCUUAUGGCCACGGCAAAUAGCCUGAAGAUAAAGCAGCAGUAGCUUCAAGCUGAUUAGGAUCUACUAGCUCACAGAUGGACUGAAGUCCUCGCGGCCGAGGAAUAUAAACUCGAGCGCCCCUCCAAGAGUUACCCAAAAUGCAGGUUGCUACCCCAACUGGAGGAAGAAACGUAUGACGCGGCUGAUCGGCCACCUCGUGGCCGCGAUAACGAGGCAUUCCAGCCAAAAACUCAGCCCGCACUCCGACGCCAUUCAAAUAAAAAGGCAUGGGGAGAUACGCCAGACCUGCGAGACAUAUUAGAGGACAAAGCAAAGCAUGCAAGAUCGAUCUACGGAUCACGAGGGCGCGCCACUAUGCGAGACGAUAAACGUCACGCCGGAUACAGUCAAAGUAAAUCCGGCCAGGCCGAACACAGCGGGCAAGACCCAUUCGAGCUGUGUCGCGAUAUAGCCCAAUACAGAGGCGCCGCACACCCCUUAUGCUUCACAGACGAAGUAAUGGAUCAUCAAAUCCCAGAAGGUUUCAAACCUAUAAAUAUUGAAUCAUACGACGGCACAACAGAUCCCGCAGUAUGGAUCGAUGUAACAUCCCAAAUUUUCAAUUUGGAAUGUUAUACAUUAGAUCAUCAUGCAUGUCAUAUUUUCUUGCAUUUUGCCCGAUCCUAGAAAUUUCACGCAACUCAAGGACCCUCGGAGAGAGUUGGAGAUUUCGUUAUUUUCAUAUUUGAGUUUUCUCAAAUUUUGUAAAGAGGAUCAUUUGAUUUAUUUAUUUUAUCUUCAAUUAUUUUUCCGGUGUCAAAAUAUAUGAGAGAGGGAAUAAUAUGACUUUCCCAAAUUUAGGAAAAAUGAAGAUUUAAUAAAUAGAUCAAUUUUUGGUUUUGCCGGAGUUUUGUUUGCUUUUUAUUUGGAUAGAGAAAAAUGCGCGUUUUCAGAAAUUGCAUUUUAGGCCCGGAGAAAAGUUCAUUUUGUUCGACUCAUUUUUAGGAGUCGGGGAAAAUUUACUUUAGUAAUUUUGGAGCUCGUUUAGAUUUUUCUUUUCUGUGUUUUUCUGCGCGUGAAACCGAAAAAAAAAUCCGCAGCGCCUUGGGCCAAGGCCCAGCCAGCAGGCCGGCCGUCCAGGCCCCAGCCCCGCGCGCGCCAGGCGCCAGGCGCCAGCGCCCCAGGUCGCCGCCUCUCGCUCGAGCCGAGUCCCAGCGGGACUCUGGCCACCGUAGCCCCCUCUUUCCUUUGUUUCGUUUUCCUUUUCCUACUCUAUUUCUUGUCCCCUACCCCAAGAAACCCCCUCCCCUCACCUAUAUAAAUACACCCCAAAACCCCCCUCUCCUCACAUCAAAACCCCAAGCCCCUCUCCUCCUAAGCCGCAGCAAGCAGCAGCGCGCAGCCCCAAGCCGCCGCCUUAGCUGCGCCGCCCCGCGCCUAAGCCGCCGCCGCCGCCGCCCGGAGCCCGCCUCCCGAGGUAGCCACGCCUCUCUUUUUCUUCCCCGGUCCGGUUUUUCCUAAAAGAACCGUUCCGUUUUCCCUCCAAUUCUUUUCUUUUUUUUUCCGUUUUUUGUUUCGGUUUUCUUCCGAAACCCUAGAUCGGUUUUCCGUUUCUUUUUCGAUUUCUUUUCCGAAAACCCUAGAUCGGUUUUCGUUCUUCUUUCGGACCGUUCGUCUCGACGAACGUGAUCACCGAUUAUUCCCCGGUUAACGAACGUCUGUUCGUUUAACUGUUCGUCUCUUUCUUUUCGUCGGAUUUAUUCCGCGAUCGUGAUCUCAGAUCCGAUCUUCGUUCUAGUCUUUCUUCUCGCUCGUUUAUCGGAAUCAGGUGAUUCAAGCGCCUGGAGUUUCGUUUCGAAACCGCCGUUCCGUCUAAUCAACUUAAACAAGUUUUUGCCCCGGUAAAAUUUGACCUAGUUUCAACUUGCUAGAACCGAGUUGUUUUCUUCUGCCGCUUGUUUUCCGUUUCUUUGUUCGGUUCGUUCUUUCUUUUGCCAACCGGAGUUCUUAAGUUGAACUUCCUGGUUCGUUCUCCUGUUCGAGUUUUACCUGUGCAUUAGGUGAGUACUUAUUGUAUGCUUGUUGUUUGUCUGUGAUAGAUCACCCGGAUUGCGCCGCUUGUUACUUCGAAACCCUAGGUCUCGCGGAUCAUCAGCAAGGCAAGUAACACUUUGAUCAUACCUUUUUCUACAACCCAGUUUUAUUGCAUUAGAUAAAUCCUCACACAUUGCAUGAUUAGGAUCUAAUUAAACUGUGGGAUGGGAAGUAGAUGAGGUAGUACCUAUUACCUGUAUUGUUAUGAAACCUUUGGGAGUUACUUCUACGUUUGCUUAUUAUGCCAUGCUAUGCUAGUAGACGUGGAUUGGGUGAGUGAUAUCCAUGACAGAUGUGAGUUGAUAAUUUUAAUGGUUUAUCUAAGGUGGCAACUUAAACACACAUCUGGGUGGAUUGAGGCACCUGAUGUCUAUCAGGACUUGCCUGUUUUAUUUUGGACCGCCACCCAGGCUCAAAGGGAUCAUAAGAUCAUUCAUGCUAGAAACUUCCGUGUGCAGCCACAUGCUACUAUGGGCUCUGGCAUAGUUGACUAAGUUGUGCGAACUCUUACGGGGUGGACUAGCAGAUGUAGGGGUUGUAGGUGGUACGGUCUACCCCACAUGUAAGGUGCUAGCGCUUCUGAAAGACUAUGUCUCGGUCAUCCGUUUCUCAAACACCAUGUAGUGCGAGAAAACAAACGGAGGCGAUUGAGUCAUGUGGGGAAAAGUGCGCAAACCUCUGCAGAGUGUACAAACUAAUCAUGAUUAGCCGUGUCCCCGGUUACGGACAACUUGAGUAUCUAGUACUUGAAUAUCAUGUGAAUCUCAACAUGUUACUUCUAAUUAAUGUUGUUGGGUUUUUAAUUGUUCACUUAAUUGGGAUCGGAAUGCUGUCAACCAUUCUCGAUGUUUAACAACUACCAUGAUAGUUAAACAAAUUUAUUCCUUUGCAGUAGGGAAAAACUGGCUUUACGCAAAACUGUAACCAUAGAGCUUUCCACCAGCCAUAUAUGCAUAUAGUAUAGAUGUUUCAUUCCAUUACUCUCUAUGUGUUACGUUGCCAGCAUAUUCCAUGUGCUGACCCGUUUUCGGGCUGCAACUUCUCAUGUUGCAGACUUUUCAGAUGACGAGUAAGGUGCUUUUAGGUCGUGGCCCUAUACUCAAUGAUGCCGUUGGAGUUGAUGGACCCAUUUAUCUUCUGAGUCUUCCGCUGUUAUCGUUAUUAGAUGACCUUAAGCCAUAUUUAUUGUAAAAGUUCUCUUUGAGACAACGAUGUAAUAAGUGUGUGAUUGCCACUCUGCUAUAAAUCCUUCGAUGUACUGUGUGGUGUCAGCAUUACUGAUCCAGGGAUGACACCUGAGCACAGAGCACUUGAUCCAUUCGGGUCAGGUCGCGACAGAGAUGGUAUCAGAGCACACGCUGACUGUAGGACACGACCACUAAGUUAAAGCCAUAGAUCACCAUUCUCUUCUCAUUUUCUAAACUCCUCAUCCUUUCUACUCUUUUAGGAUGACGAACGCGAAGAUUAAGUACGCCCAACCGGAUGAAGGCACACCAUUUGGAUUUCACCUGAAGGAAGUCACCAAGUACCUGAACAUUGGAUUACCAAGCUUCACGGGAACCUUCAACGCCACUCUGCCUGAAGAGGAGCGCUGGAAGAUUCAAACUCACGUUCCGAGAAGGACAUUCGCACCAAUCACGAAGCCCAUAGAUAGUGUUUUCAAUGCACCAACCUGGAGUCUGGGAAGGAGCAUGGCAGCUCAUAUCACCAUAGGACGCAUUGGAGAAGUUUACCAAGAAGACCUCAAGGACACUAUCUACCAGAUUUGCGGACGCCAAGAUGAACAAUGGGAGUUAGUCAGCACCAAGAAGGAUAGAUCCAUUGCAUCUUUCAUCCAGGAGUUAAACCAGCACAUUCGACGCCACGAGAACCAGAUGUGCAAUGAUAUGAUAGAGUUGAAGAAUGCAAAGGCAAGGAUCAUCGAGCUAGAAGGAGAACUCAGGUCUACACGCAAGGACUACAUGGAUGAGAUCGUAGCUCUAGCAAAGCACAAUGGCGAUCUUAAGCAGGAGAUUGAAGAACUCAAGAGGAAGUUAGCAUCCACGGAGGAAGACAAGUACGUCGCAUGUCCGAACAACUACAUCAUCAUCGACGACACUGAUUCGGAUCCAAGUGAACCCGACUUUGAAGACGAAGCUGGAGCAGAUAUCAUGGAGUCUUCCACCGGUUCAAAUUUCUAGAUGACCACCAGAUAGUAGUAGCAUUUCCCCCCUGUAAACAUUAUAGUUCGAGCACUUUUGCGAUAGUUUUAGACCGAUUGUAAGCCCUUGUUUGAUUGAAUGAAGUGAUUUUGUGUGCAUUUGCUCAUGUGCAUUGGCGUAGUGUUUUCCCUUUAGACCUCACUCUAUUCUUAAUUCUCGUCUUUUCUAAACCCUUAGAUGCCUCCGAGACGUGACAAUGGAUUCCCACCAGAGCUCACUCAGUUGAUCCAGCAACAGAAUCAAUUGAUGCAGAUGUUAGUCCAGAACCAACAGAACAACAACAACCCACCACCACCACCACCACCUGUUGACCACUUAGCCCGUUUCCUUAGGCUGAAUCCGCCGGUGUUUUCCAGUAGCACCGAGCCGAUAGUAGCAGACGAUUGGCUCCGCAAGAUAGGAAGGGAGUUGACCACUGCAGGAUGCACAGAUGGUGAGAAAGUGAAGUUUGCCACUCACCAGCUUAACGGACCCGCGGCAGCAUGGUGGGAGAAUUUCACAGCCACUUACCCAGUUGACACUGUCACAUGGGAUCAGUUUCAGCAAGCUUUCUGCACUGCCCAUGUUUCAGCAGGAGCAAUGGCCAUGAAGAAGCGUGAGUUUCGUAACUUACGCCAAGGAGGACGAACAGUUGGACAGUAUGUGGAGGAGUUUAGUAAGCUAGCACGUUAUGCCCCAGAUGACGUUGCUACGGAUGCAGCUAAGCAGGAGAAGUUUAUGGAAGGACUGAAUGAUGAACUAAGCAUGAAGUUGAUGGUAGCCACCUUCAACAACUACCAGGAGUUGGUAGAUCAUGCUCUUAUGAUUGAAGGGAAGCAGCAGCAAAUUGAGAACCGCAAGAGGAAGUAUGGACAAGGAAAGUAUAAUUCAGGAGCUCAGCAGAAGCCCCGUUUUACCCCAAAACCGGGAUUUCAGUUUCAGCAUACCCAUGGAGGAGGUAGCUCGCACAACCAUAAUGGCCACAAGAAUGGUAAUGGGAAUGGAGGAAGCAACGGCCAGAACCGGACCACCCCAUCGACCCCAACCAAGAGAGACCUGAGUCAAGUCACUUGUUUCAAGUGUUCCAAGACCGGACAUUAUGCCAAUGAAUGUCCCGAAGGACAGAAUGGAAAUGGCAAUGGAAGCUCUGGGAAGAAGCCGAACCCUUUCAAUAGGGGACAGGUGAACCACAUUAAUGUGGAGGAGGUUGAAGAUCAGCCUGAUGCAGUAAUCGGUAAGUUUCUGGUUAAGUCAUUUACCGCACUCGUUCUUUUUGAUACUGGUGCAUCGCAUUCAUGCAUAUCAAGGCGAUUUGUGGAUAAAUAUAACCUGCCAACCCAAGCCCUUAGGUCACCCAUGUUAGUAAGCUCACCAGGAGCGGAGUUUAUGGCUAGACGAUGGUGUGAUCGGUUACCAUUAAGGAUUGGUAACUAUGUGUUUCCCUCAGACCUAAUAGUAUUGGAAUCUCAAGGGUUGGAUGUGAUAUUAGGCAUGGAUUGGUUAUCAAAGUAUAAAGGGAAUAUUGAGUGUGCCAGUAAGACAAUUUUUCUUACCACACCAGAAGGAAGAAGGAUCAAGUAUGUAUCCCGGCAUGUGCCAAACAGGACACAAGUAAACUGCCUAACAGGAGUUGUGCAAGAGGAAGUACCAGUGGUGAAGGAUUUUCCUGAUGUAUUUCCUGAGGAAUUGCCAGGCAUGCUACCGGAUAGAGACAUUGAGUUUUUGAUUGAGUUUUGCCAGGUACAGGCCCAAUAUCGAAGCGACCGUACCGGAUGCCAACAAAGGAUUUGGUGGAAAUUAAGAAUCAGAUUAAGGAGUUAUUGGAUAAAGGGUACAUUCGCCCAAGUUCUUCGCCUUGGGGAUCACCCGUACUUCUAGUGGAAAAGAAGGAUGGAUCAUUAAGGAUGGUUGUAGAUUAUCGGGGAUUGAAUGAAGUAACCAUCAAGAACAAGUACCCACUGCCAAUGAUCAACGAGAACUAUCGGGUUCGAGAACUAUGUAGACAUUACCGAGACACGUCUCCGGUCAAUAACCAAUAGCGGAAUCUGGAUGCUCAUAUUGGCUCCUACAUAUUCAACGAAGAUCUUUAUCGGUCAGACCGCAUAACAACAUACGUUGUUCCCUUUGUCAUCGGUAUGUUACUUGCCCGAGAUUCGAUCGUCGGUAUCUCAAUACCUAGUUCAAUCUCGUUACCGACAAGUCUCUUUACUCGUUCCGUAAUACAUCAUCCUGCAACUAACUUAUUAGUUGCAAUGCUUGCAAGGCUUGAGUGAUGUGCAUUACUGAGAGGGCCCAGAGAUACCUCUCCGACAAUCAGAGUGACAAAUCCUAAUCUCGAAAUACGCCAACCCAACAAGUACCUUCGGAGACACCUGUAGAGCACCUUUAUAAUCACCCAGUAACAUUGUGACGUUUGGUAGCACACAAAGUGUUCCUCCGGUAAACGGGAGUUGCAUAGUCUCAUAGUCAUAGGAACAUGUAUAAGUUAUGAAGAAAGCAAUAGCAACAAACUAAACGGUCAAGUGCUAAGCUAACGGAAUGGGUCAAGUCAAUCACAUCAUUCUCCUAAUGAUGCGAUCCCGUUAAUCAAAUGGCAACUCAUGUCUAUGGUUAGGAAACAUAACCAUCUUUGAUUAACGAGCUAGUCAAGUAGAGGCAUACUAGUGACUCUCUGUUUUUGUCUAUGUAUUCACACAUGUAUUAUGUUUUCGGUUAAUACAAUUCUAGCAUGAAUAAUAAACAUUUAUCAUGAUAUAAGGAAAUAAAUAAUAACUUUAUUAUUGCCUCUACGGAAUAUUUCCUUCAGUCUCCCACUUGCACUAGAGUCAAUAAUCUAGAUUACACAGUAAUGAUUCUAACACCCAUGGAGCCUUGGUGAUGAUCAUGUUUUGCUCGUGGAAGAGGCUUAGUCAGCGGGUCUGCAACAUUCAGAUCCGUAUGUAUCUUGCAAAUUUCUAUGUCUCCCACUUGGACUAAAUCCCGAAUGGAAUUGAAGCGUCUCUUGAUGUGUUUGGUUCUCUUGUGAAAUCUGGAUUCCUUUGCCAAGGCAAUUGCACCAGUAUUGUCACAAAAGAUUUUCAUUGGACCCGGUGCACUAGGUAUGACACCUAGAUCGGAUAUGAACUCCUUCAUCCAGACUCCUUCAUUUGCUGCUUCCGAAGCAGCUAUGUACUCCGCUUCACAUGUAGAUCCCGCCACGAUGCUUUGUUUAGAACUGCACCAACUGACAGCUCCACUGUUCAGUAAAAACACGUAUCCGAUUUGCGAUUUAGAAUCGUCCGGAUCAGUGUCAAAGCUUGCAUCAACGUAACCAUUUACGAUGAGCUCUUUGUCACCUCCAUAUACGAGAAACCUAUCCUUAGUCCUUUUCAGGUAUUUCAGGAUGUUCUUGACCGCUGUCCAGUGAUCCACUCCUGGAUUACUUUGGUACCUCCCUGCUAGACUUAUAGCAAGGCACACAUCAGGUCUGGUACACAACAUUGCAUACAUGAUAGAGCCUAUAGCUGAAGCAUAGGGAACAUCUUUCAUUUUCUCUCUAUCUUCUGCGGUGGUCGGACAUUGAGUCUUACUCAACUUCACACCUUGUAACACAGGCAAGAACCCUUUCUUUGCUUGAUCCAUUUUGAACUUCUUCAAAACCUUGUCAAGGUAUGUGCUUUGUGAAAGUCCAAUUAAGCGUCUUGAUCUAUCUCUAUAGAUCUUAAUGCCCAAUAUGUAAGCAGCUUCACCGAGGUCUUUCAUUGAAAAACUCUUAUUCAAGUAUCCCUUUAUGCUAUCCAGAAAUUCUAUAUCAUUUCCAAUCAAUAAUAUGUCAUCCACAUAUAAUAUCAGAAAUGCUACAGAGCUCCCACUCACUUUCUUGUAAAUACAGGCUUCUCCAAAAGUCUGUACAAAACCAAAUGCUUUGAUCAAACUAUCAAAGCGUUUAUUCCAACUCCGAGAGGCUUGCACCAGUCCAUAAAUGGAUCGCUGGAGCUUGCACACUUUGUUAGCUUCCUUUGGAUUGACAAAACCUUCUGGUUGCAUCAUAUACAACUCUUCUUCCAGAAAUCCAUUCAGGAAUGCAGUUUUGACAUCCAUUUGCCAAAUUUCAUAAUCAUAAAAUGCGGCAAUUGCUAACAUGAUUCGGACAGACUUAAGCAUAGCUACGGGUGAGAAGGUCUCAUCGUAGUCAAUCCCUUGAACUUGUCGAAAACCUUUUGCAACAAGUCGAGCUUUGUAGACAGUAACAUUACCGUCAGCGUCAGUAUUCUUAUUGAAGAUCCAUUCAUUCUCAAUUGCUUGCCGAUCAAUGGGCAAGUCAACCAAAGUCCACACUUUGUUCUCAUACAUGGAUCCCAUCUCAGAUUUCAUGGCUUCUAGCCAUUUUGCGGAAUCUGGGCUCACCAUCGCUUCUUCAUAGUUCGUAGGUUCAUCAUGAUCUAGUAGCAUGACUUCCAGAACAGGAUUACCGUACCACUCUGGUGCGGAUCUUACUCUGGUUGAUCUACGAGGUUCGGUAGUAACUUGAUCUGAAGUUUUAUGAUCAUUAUCAUUAGCUUCAUCACUAAUUGGUGUAGGUGUCACAGAAACCGGUUUCUGUGAUGUACUACUUUCCAAUAAGGGAGCAGGUAUAGUUACCUCAUCAAAUUCUACUUUUCUCCCACUCACUUCUUUCGAGAGAAACUCCUUCUCUAGAAAAACUCCGAAUUUAGCAAUAAAAGAUUUGCCUUCGGAUCUGUGAUAGAAGGUGUACCCAACAGUCUCCUUUGGGUAUCCUAUGAAGACACAUUUCUCCGAUUUGGGUUCGAGCUUAUCAGGUUGAAGCUUUUUCACAUAAGCAUCGCAGCCCCAAACUUUCAGAAACAACAACUUUGGUUUCUUGCCAAACCACAGUUCAUAAGGCGUCGUCUCAACGGAUUUCGAUGGUGUCCUAUUUAACGUGAAUGCGGCCGUCUCUAAAGCAUAAACCCAAAAUGACAACGGUAAAUCAGUAAGAGACAUCAUAGAUCACACCAUAUCUAAUAAAGUACGAUUACGACGUUCGGACAUACCAUUACGCUGUGGUGUUCCGGGUGGCGUGAGUUGCGAAACUAUUCCGCAUUGUUUCAAAUGUAGACCAAACUUGUAACUCAAAUAUUCUCCUCCACGAUCAGAUCGUAGAAACUUUAUUUUCUUGUUACGAUGAUUUUCAACUUCACUCUGAAAUUCUUUGAACUUUUCAAAUGUUUCAGACUUAUGUUUCAUUAAGUAGAUAUACCCAUUUCUGCUUAAAUCAUCUGUGAAGGUGAGAAAAUAACAAUAUCCGCCAUGAGCCUCAACAUUCAUUGGACCACAUACAUCUGUAUGUAUGAUUUCCAACAAAUCCGUUGCUCUCUCCAUAGUACCGGAGAACGGCGCUUUAGUCAUCUUACCCAUGAGGCACGGUUCACAAGUACCAAGUGAUUCAUAAUCAAGUAGUUCCAAAAGUCCAUCAAUAUGGAGUUUCUUCAUGCGCUUUACACGGAUAUGACCUAAAUGGCAGUGCCACAAAUAAGUUGCACUAUCAUUAUCAACUCUGCAUCUUUUGAUUUCAACAUUAUGAAUAUGUGUAUCACUACUAUCGAGAUUCAUCAAAAAUAGACCACUCUUCAAGGGUGCAUGACCAUAAAAGAUAUUACUCAUAUAAAUAGAACAACCAUUAUUCUCUGAUUUAAAUGAACAACCGUCUCGCAUCAAACAAGAUCCAGAUAUAAUGUUCAUGCUCAACGCUGGCACCAAAUAACAAUUAUUUAGGUCUAAUAUUAAUCCCGAAGGUAGAUGUAGAGGUAGCGUGCCGACCGUGAUCACAUCGACUUUGAAACCAUUUCCCACACGCAUCGUCACCUCGUCCUUAGCCAAUCUUCACUUAAUCCGUAGCCCCUGUUUCGAGUUGGAAAUGUUAGCAACAGAACCAGUAUCAAAUACCCAGGUGCUACUGCGAGCAUUAGUAAGAUACACAUCAAUAACAUGUAUAUCACAUAUACCUUUGUUUACUUUGCCACCCUUCUUAUCCGCCAAAUACUUGGGGCAGUUCCGCUUCCAGUGACCAUUCUGCUUGCAGUAGAAGCACUCAGUCUCAAGCUUAGGUCCAGACUUGGGUUUCUUCUCCUGAGCAGCAACUUGUUUGCUGUUCUUCUUGAAGUUCCCUUUCUUCUUCCCUUUGCCCUUUUUCUUGAAACUGGUGGUCUUAUUGACCAUCAACACUUGAUGCUCCUUCUUGAUUUCUACCUCCGCGGCUUUUAGCAUCGCGAAGAGCUCAGGAAUAGUUUUAUUCAUCCCUUGCAUAUUAUAGUUCAUCACGAAGCUUUUGUAGCUUGGUGGCAGUGAUUGAAGAACUCUGUCAAUGACACUAUCAACAGGAAGACUAACCCCCAGUUGAGUCAAGUGAUUAUGAUACCCAGACAUUUUGAGUAUAUGUUCACUGACAGAACUAUUCUCCUCCAUCUUGCAGCUAUAGAACUUAUUGGAGACUUCAUAUCUCUCAAUCCGGGCAUUUGCUUGAAAUAUUAACUUCAACUCCUGAAACAUCUCAUAUUCUCCAUGACGUUCAAAACGUUGUUGAAGACCCGGUUCUAAGCCGUAAAGCAUGGCACACUGAACUAUCGAGUAGUCAUCAGCUUUGCUCUGCCAGACGUUCAUAACAUCUGGUGUCGCUCUUGCAGCAGGUUGGCACUUAGCGGUGCUUCCAGGACGUAAUUCUUCUGUGCAGCAAUGAGGAUAAUCCUCAAGUUACAGACCCAGUCCAUGUAAUUGCUACCAUCAUCUUUCAACUUUUCUUUCUCAAGGAACGCAUUAAAAUUCAAUGGAACAAUAGCACGAGCCAUCUAUCUACAAUCAAACAUAGACAAGCAAGAUACUAUCAGGUACUAAGUUCAUGAUAAAUUUAAGUUCAAUUAAUCAUAUUACUUAAGAACUCCCACUUAGAAAGAUAUCCCUCUAAUCCUCUAAGUGAUCACGUGAUCCAAAUCAACUAAACCAUGUCCGAUCAUCACGUGAUAUGGAGUAGUAUCAAUGGUGAACAUCAAUAUGUUGAUCAUAUCUACUAUAUGAUUCACGCUCGACCUUUCAGUCUCCGUGUUCCGAGGCCAUAUCUGUUAUAUGCUAGGCUCGUCAAGUUAAACCUAAGUAUUCCACGUGUGCAACUGUUUUGCACCCGUUGUAUUUGAACGUAGAGCCUAUCACACCCGAUCAUCACGUAGUGUCUCAGCACAAAGAACUUUCGCAACGGUGCAUACUCAGGGAGAACACUUAUACUUUGAUAAUUUAGUGGGGGGUCAUCUUAUAAUGCUACCGUCAAUCAAAGCAAGAUAAGAUGCAUAAAAGAUAAACAUCACAUGCAAUCAAUAUAAGUGAUAUGAUAUGGCCAUCAUCAUCUUGUGCUUGUGAUCUCCAUCUCCGAAGCACCUUCAUGAUCACCAUCGUCACCGGCGCGACAACUUGAUCACCAUCGUAGCAUCGUUAUCGUCUCGCCAAUCUUAUGCUUCCACGACUAUCGCUACCGCUUAGCGAUAAAGUAAAGCAUUACAGCGCAAUUGCACUGCAUACAAUAAAGCGACAACCAUAUGGCUCCUGCCAGUUGCCGAUAACUCGGUUACAAAACAUGAUCAUCUCAUACAAUAAAAUUUAGCAUCAUGUCUUGACCAUAUCACAUCACAACAUGCCCUGCAAAAACAAGUUAGACGUCCUCUACUUUGUUGUUGCAAGUUUUACAUGGCUGCUACGGGCUUAGCAAGAACCAUUCUUACCUGCGCAUCAAAACCACAACGAUAGUUUGUCAAGUUGGUGCUGUUUUUACCUUCGCAAGGACCGGGUGUAGCCACACUUGGUUCAACUAAAGUUGGAGAAACUGACACCCGCCAGCCACCUGUGUGCAAAGCACGUCGAUAGAACCAGUCUCGCGUAAGCGUACACGUAAUGUCGGUCCGGGCCGCUUCAUCCAACAAUACCGCCGAACCAAAGUAUGACAUGCUGGUAAGCAGUAUGACUUAUAUCGCCCACAACUUACUUGUGUUCUACUCGUGCACAACAUCAACGCAUAAAACCUAGGCUCGGAUGCCACUGCUGGGGAACGUAGUAAUUUCAAAAAAAAAAAUCCUACGCACACGCAAGAUCAUGGUGAUGCAUAGCAACGAGAGGGGAGAGUGUUGUCUACGUACCCUCGUAGACUGGCAACGGAAGUGUUGACACAACGUAGAGGAAGUAGUCAUACGUCUUCCCGAUCUGACCGAUCCAAGUACCGAACGUACGGCACCUCCGAGUUCUGCACACGUUCAACUCGGUGACGUCCCUCGAGUUCUGAUCCAGCAAAACGUUGAGGGAGAGUUUCGUCAGCACGACGGCGUGAUGACGGUGAUGAUGUUCUACCGACGCAGGGCUUCGUAUAAGCACCGCUACGAUAUGACCGAGGUGGAAUAUGGUGGAAGGGGGCACCGCACACGGCUAAGGAACGAUCACGAGGAUCAACUUGUGUGUCAUGGGGUGCCUCCUUGCCUCGGUAUAUAAAGGAGGGAGAGGGGGAGGUGCGGCCGGCCCUAUGGGUGCGCCUGGAGGAGUCCUACUCCAACCGGGAGUAGGACUCCCCCCUCUUGUCUUGUUGGAAAAGGAAGGAGGAAGGGAGAAAGAGGAAAGGGCCCCCCCUUUCCUUGUCCUAUUUGGACUAGGGGGGAGGGGGCGCGCGGCCUGCCCUGGCCGGCCCUCCUCUUCUCCCUUAUGGCCCAUGUAGGCCCAAUAACCCCCGGGGGGUUCCGGUAACCCCCCGGUACUCCGGUAAAAUCCCGAUUUCACCCGGAACGUUUUCGAUAUCCAAAUAUAGGCUUCCAAUAUAUCAAUCUUUAUGUCUCGACCAUUUCGAGACUCCUUGUCAUGUCCGUGAUCACAUACGGGACUCCGAACAACCUUCUGUACAUCAAAACACAAAAACCCUAAUUACGAUCGUCACCGAACUUUAAGCGUGCGGACCCUACGGGUUCGAGAACUAUGUAGACAUGACCGGGACACGUCUCCGGUCAAUAACCAAUAGCGGAACCUGGAUGCUCAUAUUGGCUGCUACAUAUUCUACGAAGAUCUUUAUCGGUCAGACCGCAUAACAACAUAUGUUGUUCCCUUUGUCAUCGGUAUGUUACUUGCCCAAGAUUCGAUCGUCGGUAUCUCAAUACCUAGUUCAAUCGCAUUACCGGCAAGUCUCUUUACUCGUUCCGUAAUACAUCAUCCUGCAACUAACUUAUUAGUGGCAAUGCUUGCAAGGCUUGAGUGAUGUGCAUUACUGAGAGGGCCCAGAGAUACCUCUCCGACAAUCUAAACGAUCAAGUGCUAAGCUAACGGAACGGGUCAAGUCAAUCACAUCAUUCUCCUAAUGAUGUGAUCCCGUUAAUCAAAUGACAACUCAUGUCUAUGGUUAGGAAACAUAACCAUCUUUGAUUAACGAGCUAGUCAAGUAGAGGCAUACUAGUGACUCUCUGUUUUUGCCUAUGUAUUCACACAUGUAUUAUGUUUCCGGUUAAUACAAUUCUAGCAUGAAUAAUAAACAUUUAUCAUGAUAUAAGGAAAUAAAUAAUAACUUUAUUAUUGCCUCUAGCGCAUAUUUCCUUCAAAAACAAGGACAAGGGGCCACAUAGCGAUGACGAGGAGGAGCCCCGGCAGCCACACAUCGGAGGACAGAAGAGGUUUCCCCCACAAGUGCGGACGGUGAACAUGAUAUACGCAACCCACAUCCCCAAGAGGGAGCGGAAGCGUGUGCUCAGGGACGUAUAUGCGUUGGAGCCAGUCGCCCCAAAAUUCAACUCGUGGUCCUCCUAUCUGAUCCCUUUCGAUCGCAGGGACAACCCACUAGUAUCCGUCAUGGCGGAUUCGCCACACUAGUUCUGGACCCAAUCAUUGACGGAUUUCACCUCACUCGAGUCCUUAUGGAUGGUGGUAGCAGCCUGAACCUGCUUUAUCAGGACACAGUGCGCAAAAUGGGUAUAGACCCCUCAAGGAUCAAACCCACAAAAAGACCUUUAAGGGCGUCAUUCCAGGCGUAGAGGCCCAUUGUACAGGCCCAAUCACACUGGAAGUGGUCUUCGGAUCCCCGGAUAACUUCCGAAGCGAAGAGUUAAUCUUCGAUAUAGUCACGUUCCAUAGUGGUUAUCAUGCACUGCUCGGGCGAACCGCAUUUGCGAGGUUCAAUGCGGUACCACAUUAUGCAUACCUCAAACUCAAAAUGCCAGGACCUCGCGGGGUUAUUACAGUCAAUGGAAACACAGAGCGCUCUCUCGGAACAGAGGAGCACACUGCGGCCCUCGCAGCAGAAGCGCAAAACAGCCUCUCAAGGCAAUCCACCAGUUCGGCGUUUCAAGACCCGAACACCUUCAAGCGCGCUCGGAGCAAUCGGCAAAUAGACCGCCUGACGCGAUCUGAGCUCGCGUAGCAAUGCGGCCCCCACCCCAGUCCCAGCCAAACGGCGAAACUCGUGCCACGCGUACAUAAUUACGCAUUAAAAAUACCAUGGGCACAUGUGGGGAGGGGGCACAACUGUGGCACGCCCCGAGACGCAGCUUAAACCGCACUAGGGGCUUCCCGUUUGGUUAUUUUUCUCUUUUUCAGGACCUUAAUCUCUGGAAACCCUAUCCGGCAGCACUAUUGCCGAACACAUGAUGUAGCAACCAAGGAGGCGGAAAGCUACGUCACACCACGGAAUUCCCAGGUGGAUUACAAUAACGAGCGAAAUAUUUGAUUUAAUACUAUUCCUCAGCUUGCCCUUGGAAGGGACAUAGUCCCACUCUUUGCUUAUCGCACUAUCUGUAUCAUUCUGCUUUAACGCACCUUUUUGAAUAAACAAUGCAUAACAUCACGACUAUUAUUGCAUUCUUGUUAUAUAUAUAUGUGUGUGCGUUCAUUAACGACGCCUGGCAACCGUACACUUUGGUACGGUCAAUACACCAGGGGCUUACGUACCCCACAAUAUGGUGUGAAAAGUCCGAACACUUUCACAAGUGCGGCACCCUGAACUUAUAGCAUUAUAUGCAUCAGCUCCGAAUCAUGUCUUUGGUCAAAUGUUGGGUUUGCCCGGCUCCUAUGUUUUGGUACCUUAUGUUCCGCUCUAUCGGCCAAGGUAGCGCUAGGAGAACUACUGCGAUUGUGCCCCGGUUCUACCGGGAUGAGCACCUCAGUAGAGAAAGCUAAAACUGACUGUCAUGAUAAGGCGAGAGACUGGUCGCUGUUCGGCGAGGUUUUCGAGUCCCUAAAGACUUAUGCCGCUUAGGGCGAGGGGUCGGCCCUGUCCGGCUUAAAGGCGUGUAUCGCGCCCCGAAUUCGGCCUUCCGAAUACCAGGGGCUUCACUGAAAUUUAAAAUUAUAGAAUUAUAUGGCUAAGUGAGAGUGAUAAAGCAUUAUUAGUCUGGUUGCCUUGUUCGUUGUGCUGAGCACCUCCCUCGAAGGACCCAAACAUGGGAACAAGAGUGCUCAGGUUUAUCCCGAACACCCCAGCACUCGUGGCAUGGGGGCAGAAGCCGAGGACUAGCCAUCUCUCAGAUUGGAUAAACGGACAAACAUAAGGUAAUAUUUUAAAUUCACACAAGCGUUGCAUAGCGCAUAUGAAACAAGUUUUCAUCAUACAGGAUCACACGAGAAAGUUUACUCAAAUAUUACAUCCUUGGAACAUUCAUCCGCUACAAGACGGGCACCCUUCAGGACACCCUCAUAAUAAAUUUCGGGGGUGCGAUGCUCUUUGCCCUGCGGCGGCCCUUCCUUGAUCAGCUUCACAGCAUCUAGCUUGGUCCACUGCACCUUCACAUGGGCGAAAGCCCGGCUUGCACCUUCGAUGCAGACGGACCGCUUGACGACCUCUAGCCAUGGGCAGGCAUCCACAAGCCGCCUCACCAGGCCAAAGUAGUUGUUCGGAAGGGCGUCGCAGGACACAGCCAGACUAUAAGGCCCUUCAUGGCCUGUUCGGCCACCUUGUGCAGCUCGACCAGCUGCUUUAGCUGGUCGCUCAGAGGCAUCGGGUGUUCGGUCCUAGUAUACUGAGACCAGAACAGCUUCUCCGUUGAGCUUGCCUCCUCGGCCUGGUAAAACUGUGCGGCAUACGACACGCUGCGGGGCAAAUCUGUGAAUGCUCCUGGAGAGCUCCGAAUUCGGGUAAGUAAUCGGUAAUUUACUUUUACAUGCUUGCUCUGCAUAUAGAAUGCCUUACCCGCCGCUAUCUUCUUCAUUGCGUCGAUCUCCUGGAGGGCCUUUUGGGCUUCGGCCUUGGCACUUUUCGCGCUCUCGAGGGCCGUGGCUAGCUCAGACUCUCGCGUCUUCGAGUCAAGCUCAAAUGCCUCGUGCUUCGUCAUGAGAGCCUGGAGCUCUUGCUGCAGCUCGCCCACCCGAGCCUCUUGUUUUUCCCACUCGGUGCGCUCCUUGGCCGCUUUAUCUUCGGCCUUGGUCAGCGCUUGCUUCACGGUCGCCACCUCGGUCGUGGCCCCUGGCAAAUAUACGAUGAUCCUAUCAUUUUGCAAUCGCGUCUUAUUUUAUAUAUACAUAUCUGCAGACAUGGUAUUACUUACCCUUGUUCUCCUCGAGCUGCCUCUUGGCAAGGCUGAGCUCUUUCUUGGACCCCUCGAGGUCCUGCUUCAGUACGGCGACCUCCGAAGUAAGUGUGGUGGACGCCAGCAGCGAGGCCUGCAUACGCAUAUUGACAUACUUAUAUUAGACUCCUGCGAUAUUAUUUGAUCCUCUGUUCGGCUUUUCUUUGUGAACACCGAACAAAGCAUCAGGGGCUACUGUCUAUGCGGUAAUAUUUUUCCUAUAUUUUAAAAACACUUACCUCAAAGCCUGUUAGAAGGCUGGCACAGGCUUCAGUCAAUCUGCUCUUAGCGGACUGAACCUUCUGGACCACCGCACUCAUAAUAGUACGGUGCUCCUCGUCGAUAGAAGCGCUGCGAAGCGCUUCCAGCAGAUUGUCCGGCGCCUCUAGAUGGACAGAGGUCACCGGCAUAGGCGUCUUCCCCUCGUGGAAGGAGGCCGCCUGCCCGAGCCCGGAACCACUGGAGGUUCCGGCGCGGUGUUCGGCUGAGGGCCGAAUUCGGAGCUCUCAGGGGCCCCGUCCCCUUGGCUCCCGAAGUCCGGAAGGUCGCCUUGAGGCACCUCCGGGACUGUCUCCCCUCGACCCAAUCCUCUUGAGACAGCACCUCGGCAUCGUCAGCAGGAUGAGGGGAGGUGGCGGUCGGAACUGGAUCGCUAUCCAUGUCCGACGAGCCCAGGGAGCCGUCCGAUGAUACAUCGAUACUGGCUCGUGGCGGCCUACAUAAUUAUGUUCGGCGUUAGGGAAAGUAGUGCGACAAAGGAAUGCUAUGAGUUACUUUGGUAUCCGAAUACUUACGAUCUCCCCAGGAGCUUGGCCCCGGGCAACCACUCGUCCUCGCCUUCGUCGGCGGCGGUGGAACUGUCCGGAAGGAGAGUCCUUCCCUUCUUGGACCCUUCGCCCCCCCCCCCCCAGUCGGGGCGGCCUUCCUUUUUUUGUCUCCCCCGCCUGGAGGGGGAGCAUCUUCUUCUUCCUCCUCGUCUUUGGGGGAGGAGUGUGCCGCAGAGUUAUCGGACGAUGAGUCCGGUAACACCUGGCGCCGGGAACUCUUUUGGGUUCCCUUGGCCUUCUUGGUCUUCUCCGACACCUUGUAAGGAGCCGGAGUCAGCAUCUCCGUCAGGAGAGCGCCCGCAGUGUCUUCGGGCAAAGGGGCCGGACAGUUAAUAUGCCCCGACGUCUCCACCCAGUCCUGUCAAAGGCAUGGAGAUUAGACCCCGCACAUGAUUAAGCUAGGGGAAAUAAAAGUCCUACGGGACGUAUUGAACUCACUGAACGCGCUAGCCGCUUUGCGCUUAGUCCGCGGUCCUCAGUGAGAGAAGGAGGGACCUCGGCGCCCUUGAACAACACCUCCCAGACGUCCUUAUGCGUCGUAUCAAAGAGCUCGCUCAGAGUCUGGUGCCGGGCCGGGUCGAACUCCCACAAGUUAAAAUCCCGUUGUUGACACGGGAGGAUCCGGCGGAUGAGCAUAACCUGGACUAUGUUGACAAGCUUGAGCUUCUUGCUUGCCAUACUCCGGAUACAUUUCUGGAGUCCAUCCAGCUCCACCGAUGAACCCCACGACAAGCCCUUCUCUUUCCAGGAAGUGAGCCGUGUAGGGAAUCCGGAUCGAAACUCGGGGGCUGCCGCCCAUUUGGCGUCGCGCGGCUCGGUGAUGUAGAACCACGCCGAUUGCCAUCCCUUUAUUGUCUCCACGAAGGAGCCUUCAAGCCAUAUAACGUUGGGCAUCUUGCCCACCAUGGAUCCGCCGCAUUCUGCUUGUUGUCCUCGUACCACCUUCGGCUUGAUAUUGAAGGUCUUUAACCACAGGCCGAAGUGGGGCCGAAUGCGGAGGAAAGCCUCACACACGAUGAUGAAUGCCGAAAUGUUGAGGACGAAGUUCGGGGCCAGAUCAUGAAAGUCCAGCCGGUAGUAGAACAUGGGACCACAGACGAAUGGAUGGAGGGGAAACCCCAGUCCACGGAGGAAGUAGUGGAGGAAAACUACCCUCUCGUGGGGUUCCGGGGUCGGGACGAUCUGCCCCGCAGCGGGCAGCUGAUGCGCGAUAUUCGCGGCUAAGUAUCCGGCUCCGCGCAGCUUCUUGAUGUCUCCCUCCGUGACGGAGGAGACCAUCCACCUGCCUCCCGCUCCGGACAUGGUUGGAGAAGGUUGAGGUGGGAAGUGCAGACUUGGGCGCUAGAGCUCGAGUGUGCGAAAAUGGAUGAGCAAAGAAGGAAGAAGGCGUGGAUGAAAAGGUGAAUCCUUAUCCCUUUAUAUGGGCGGACGAAACUGUGCGCCCCCCACUAGCCUGGUAAAACUCGCUUAUCCCCCAAGCGUCGUAAUCGAUGGCGCGGUUGGGUUACCCACGCCCGUAUUGAUGAGAAUCCCGUAAUAAUGGGACACGAUCUCUGCUUUGACAAGACGUGUCAAAAAACUGCCUCGCGUUAUGUGCGGGGCUAGUUAAAGGACACGGUUUGAAUAAUCACCGGGCCAUGACAUAACGUCAUGCUACCAAAACAAGUCAGCAAAUUAGAUUUGCGAAAAUAUUAUUCUCUCUACGGUGGUAUGUGGAACUUAUUUUGCAGGGUCGGACACUAUCCUUGUAUUCAAAUUCUUCCGUGGUGUAUUCGGAGGAGGAACCCGCCUUGCAAUGCCGAAGACAAUAUUGCGCGCCGGACUCAUCGUCAUUGAAGCCUGGUUCAGGGGCUACUGAGGGAGUCCUGGAUUAGGGGGUCUCCGGACAGCGAGACUAUAUCCUUUGGCCAGACUGUUGGACAAUGAAGAUACAAGAUUGAAGACUUCGUCUCGUGUCCGGAUGGGACUCUACUUGGCGUGGAAGGCAAGCUAGGCAAUACGGAUAUGGAUAUCUCCUCCUUUGUAACCGACCUUGUGUAACCCUAACCCUCUCCGGUGUAUAUAUAAACUGGAGGGUUUUAGUCCGUAGGACAACAACUACAACAUACAAUCAUACCAUGGGCUAGCUUCUAGGGUUUAGCCUCUCCGAUCUCGUGGUAGAUCUACUCUUGUACUACCCAUAUCAUCAAUAUUAAUCAAGCAGGACGUAGGUUUUUACCUCCAUCAAGAGGGCCCGAACCUGGGUAAAACAUCGUGUCCCCUGCCUCCUGUUACCAUCCGGCCUAGAUGCACAGUUCGGGACCCCCUACCCGAGAUCCGCCGGUUUUGACACCGACACCGCAUAACAACAUACGUUGUUCCCUUUGUCAUCGGUAUGUUACUUGCCCGAGAUUCGAUUGUUGGUAUCCUCAUACCUAGUUCAAUCUCAUUAUUGACAAGUCUCUUUACUCGUUCUGUAAUGCAUCAUCCCGUAACUAACUCUUUAGUCACAUUACUUGCCAGGCUUAUAGUGAUGUGCAUUUCCGAGAGGGCCCAGAGAUACCUCUCUGACAAUCGGAGUGAAAACUUCUAAUCUUGAUCUAUGCCAACUCAACAAACACCAUCGGAGACACUUGUAGAGCAUCUUUAUAAUCACCUAGUUACGUUGUGACGUUUGAUAGCACACUAAGUGUUCCUCCGGUAUUUGGGAGUUGCAUAAUCUCAUAGUCAUAGGAACAUGUAUAAGUUAUGAACAAAGCAAUAGCAAUAAACUAAAUGAUCAUAGUGCUAAGCUAACGGAUGGGUCAAGUCAAUCACAUCAUUCUCUAAUGAUGUGAUCCCGUUCAUCAAAUGACAACUCAUGUCUAUGGUUAGGAAACUUAACCAUCUUUGAUUAACGAGCUAGUCAAGUAGAGGCAUACUAGUGACACUCUGUUUGUCUAUGUAUUCACACAUGUACUAAGUUUCCGGUUAAUACAAUUAUAGCAUGAAUAAUAAACAUUUAUCAUGAUAUAAGGAAAUAUAAACAACAACUUUAUUAUUGCCUCUAGGGCAUAUUUCCUUCAGUCUCCCACUUGCACUAGAGUCAAUAAUCUAGUUCACAUCGUCAUGUGAUUUAACACCAAUAGUUCACAUCUUUAUGUGAUUAGUUCACAUCACCAUAUGACUAAUACCCAAAGGGUUUACUAGAGUCAAUAAUCUAGUUCACAUUGCUAUGUGAUUAACACCCAAAGAGUGAUCAUGUUUUGCUUGUGAGAGAAAUUUAGUCAACGGUUCUGCCACAUUCAGAGUCGUAUGUAUUUUGCAAUAAAAAUUAUGUCUACAAUGCUCUGCACGGAACUACUCUAGCUAAGUGCUCCCACUUUCAAUAUGUAUCCAGAUUGAGACUCAGAGUCAUCCAGAUCGGUGUCAAAACUUGCAUUGACGUAACUCUUUACGACGAACUUUUUGUCACCUUCAUAACCGAGAAACAUAUCCUUAUUCCACUAAGGAUAAUUUUGACCGAUGUCCAGUGAUCCACUCCUGGAUCACUAUUGUACCCUCUUGCCGAACUCUUGGUGAGGUACACAAUAGGUCUGGUACACAACAUAGCAUACUUUAUAGAACCUAUGGCUGAGGCAUAGGGAAUGACUUUUCAUUCUCUCUCUAUUUUCCGCCAUGGUCGGGUUUUUGAGUUUUUACUCAACUUCACACCUUGCAACACAUGCAAGAACUCCUUGUUUGUCUGUUCCAUUUUGAACUACUUCAAAAUCUUGUCAAGGUAUGUACUCAUUGAAAAAUAUAUCAAGCAUCUUGAUUUAUCUCCAUAGAUCUUGAUGCUCAAUAUGCAAGUAGGUUCACCGAGGUCUUUCUUUGAAAAACUCCUUUCAAACACUCCUUUAUGCUUUCCAAAAAAUUCUAGAUCAUUUCCGAUCAACAAUAUGUCAUUCACAUAUACUUAUCAGAAAGGCUGUAGUGCUCCCACUCACUUUCUUGUAAAUACGGACUUCACCACAAGUCUGUAUAAAAAUAUAUGCUUUGAUCACUUUAUCAAAGCAUAUAUUCCAACUCCGAGAUGCUUGCACCAGUCCAUAGAUGGAUCGCUGGAGCUUGCACACUUUGUUAGCACCUUUAGGAUUGAAAAAACCUUCUUGUUGCAUCAUAUACAACUCUUUUUUUAGAAGUCCAUUAAGGAAUGCAGUUUUGACAUCCAUUUGCCAGAUUUCAUAAAAUGUGGCAAUUUCUAACAUGAUUCGAACAGACUUAAGCAUCGCUACGAGUGAGAAAAUCUCAUCGUAGUCAACAUCUUGAACUUGUCAAAAACCUUUUGCGACAAUUCGCUCUUUGUAUAUAGUGAUACCACUAUCAGUGUCUGUCUUCCUCUGGAAGAUCCAUUUAUUCUCAAUGGCUUGCCGAUCAUUGAGCAAGUCAACCAAAGUCCACACUUUGUUCUCAUACAUGGAUCCCAUCUUAGAUUUCAUGGCCUCAAGCCAUUUUGCAGAAUCUAGGCUCAUCAUCGCUUCCUCAUAGUACGUAGGUUCGUCGUGGUCUAGUAACAUGACUUCCAAAAAGGAUUACCGUACCACUCUAGUGUGGACCAUACUCUGGUUGACCUACGAGGUUCGAUAGUAACUUGAUUUGAAGUUUCAUGAUCAUCAUCAUUAGCUUCCUCACUAAUUGGCGUAGUAAUCACUAGAACUAAUUUCUAUGAUGAACCACUUUCCAAUUUGGGAGAAGGUACAAUUACCUCAUCAAGUUCUACAUUCCUCCCAUUCACUUCUUUCGAGAGAAACUUCUUCUCUAGAAAGGAUCCAUUCUUAGCAACGAAUAUCUUGCCUUCGGAUCUGUGAUAGAAGGUGUACCCAACAGUUUCCUUUGGGUAUCCUAUGAAGACGCAUUUCUCCGAUUUGUUCGAGCUUAUCAAGUUGAAACUUUUUCACAUAAGCAUCAUAGCCCCUAACUUUAAUAAACGACAACUUAGGUUUCUUGCUAAACCACAGUUCAUAUGGUGUCGUCUCAAUGGAUUUAGAUGGUGCUGGCAGACGGCAAAGAGCCUGGACGGCACACGUGGCAGCUUAUGUCUGUUAGGGGGUUAACGUCAUGCUUUGCUGUCUGCCAGCAGACGGCAAAGCUGCCAAAUAGGCCAGCCAGUGCACCCCAGGUUGCACAGGUAGCUGCCACAUGGCAGCUUUGCCGUGUGUUGGCUGAUGGCAAAGCUCUUUGCCGUCUGCCAGCAGAUGGCAAAGAGCCUGUACAGCCCCUAUUUUUUCUUAGAUUCAUUCAAUUUCACAGAAUUUCACAGAUAUAUAUAACAAGUUUCCAACACAUAUAACGAGUUUCCAACAACAAGUUAUCCAACAUAAAAUGGUUUCAUCCAUACAUACAUAUCCAACAACAAGUUUGCAACAAGUAUCCAAAAACAUAAAAUAAGCACAAGGAGAAGAGUAGACUCCAUGAACGUAGGCUCCUCAUAUAAAGCAAAUCUGCAAAUUGAGAAAGAAGAAAGUUAGAAGAAGAAGGAGAAGAAGAAGAAGAAGAAGACUAGCUAGAAGAAAAAAAGAAGAAUUUAUCUUUUCUUUCUUUUUCUCCUCUCCUCUUCUUUAUCUUCUUCUUCUAACUAAGGUAGGUAAAAAUGCCAUUUUUUAGCUAAGCUAGGUAAAAAUGCUAAGUGUGUAGGUCAUUUUAGAGCUAAGCUAGGUAAAUAGGUCAUUUUGGAGCUAACCUAGGUAAAAUGGAUCAUAUUGGAGCUAACCUAGGUAAACUAGAUCAUUUUGAAGCUAACCUAGGUAAAAUGGAUCAUAUUAGAGCUAAUUUAGCAUUUUAGAGCUAACUUAGAGCUAACUUAGGUCAUUUUUGAGCUAAGUUAGGUAAAAUUGAUCAUUUUGGAGCUAAUUAGACUUAGUAUGUCAUUUUUGAGGAAAAUAAGCUAACUAUAUGACAUAUAUCAGGUUACCAAGACUGUUAUGCCAUUUCAAACCUAAGUAAGCUAAUUAUGCCAUUUUUUACAUAAGUAAGCUAAGUGCAUGUCAUUAUUGAGCAAACCUAGGUAACUAAGCAUAUUAGAGAUAAUUUAGCAUAUUAGAGCUAACUUAGGUCAUUUCGAAGGAAACAAAGCUAAGUAUAGAUCAUUUUGGAGCUAAGUAAGCUAAUUAUGUCAUUUUGGAGGAAGAUAAGCUAAGUCUAGGUCAUUAUGGUAAGCAUUUUGGAGGAAAUAAAGCUAAGUCUAGGUCUUUAUGCAUUUCGUAAGCAAAACACUACAGAAAACUUACCGUCAUCACGGAGGUGAAGGAUCUUCACUCCUCCUUCUCCUUCUCCUUCAUCAUCCUGAUGCGCUUAGAGCGGCGAGGCAGUGGGAUGUACUCUUCUACCAUAAUUGGCAUGGUCUUGUCUCCCAGCCAUGGGAUCGCCGGCGCCACCACCAUCGCGAGGUCAUCUUCAGGCACCACCAUCGCUAGGUCAUCUUCAGGCACCACCACCAUCGUGAGGCCAUCUUCAGGCACCACCAUCGCUUGCCCAUCAUCAGCCACCACCAUCGCUAGGUCAUCGUCAGCCACCACCAUCGCUUGCCCAUCGUCAACGACCACCAUCGCUUGGCCAUUGUCAGCCACCACCAUCGUGAGGUAAUCGUUAGACAGAAUAGGUUGCACCUCCACAUCUCCACUCUGCUCCUCUUCUUCCACACUCCGUUCCUCCUCAUCGUCGAUGCUGCUUUUGUUGUAGGUAGAGUUGCUGCUGCUUUUGCCGUAGUUAGAGUCGCUGCUGCUGCUCCCAUUGCCUGACCAAAUGCAACAAAGUUUUUUUUAACAAUCGGUCUGAGACAAAGCCAAAUGGAGAGGAAGAAGAGACAGAGCGUACUGGCAUCAUCGUCGUCCUGGUAGCGCAUGCGGCACAUAGUCGUGUUGAACACCUUCACGGUGAGCAUGACGUUGUUGUUGUACCUGAGGACAAGGAAGUAUCUGUGCCGUAGGUCGUAGGCACAGACGAACUGCUCCUAGCCACGACACAGGUACAUGUGGCGGUCGGUGUCGAACACCACCUCCAUGUCCCACAGCCUGCGAAGCCCGCUGUCGGCCUGUCGCAGCUUUACAUUCUGUGGCCGACGGCUGUCCAGCAUCUUCAUAAAAGUGUUAGGCAGCCUCUGCAGCGUGGGUCAAGCAGUGAUGUAGCAAACAACAGAGUUAUGAUAAGGAGAUGGGUGAAGGGGAGAUCUCUCAUUUUAUAUACCUGCCUGCUGGAGGAAUUCUCAAGUAUGAUCGUGAAGAACUCGAAACCUUCCAAGUCGGACUCCGGCAUGGCAGAGCGCAGCCGGUGGUGGCGGCCUCCCCCAUCUCUGAUAAGCAGCAGAAGAGACCAAUUACUACCCUUACAACAUUAUCAUACAACAUUACAGCAUCAGAAGUUUUGAGCAGAAGAGAAUCAACUACACCAAGUUAUCAUUUCACAUUCAAAAAGCAAUGCACUUGUGGACAUUUAUGAUGGCAAGAACUAUAAUUCAAAAAGCAAAGCAAGAUAAACAAGCACUUAGUUAGAUGUCUUUGCCAGAGCCUCAAUUUGAAAUACUACUAUAAAUGGCAAUGGCCUCAAUUUGCUACUACUCUAUCUUGGCAAUGAGUAGGAGAAGAACAUCAACAUCAAGAACACCCUUAGAAUAACAUCAACAUCAAAUACUUUAGUGUUUUUAGAGUUUUAGGAGAAUACCAUCAACAAGCUCUUAGUAUCACUUUUUUAUCCAGAAAACACACCAUCUAUAGUGCUGUCUUACAAAGAAAACAUCAUAAAAAAACCCCAUCAAAAGUAUUCUCUCCGGUUCACAAAAUUGCUUUCAACCAUGCAUUGCAGUUUUCUGAAACCGAAGUAUUCACUGCCCACACAUUGGAAUACUUAGGGUAUUAAUUAAACUAAAUAACUUAAACUAACUAAAUUAAAAAACCUAAACUAAAAAAGUAAUUAAACCUAAAUUAAUUAAACUAAAUAACCUAAACUAAACAGAAAAAAUAGAAAAAACAGGAGAGGGGUGACCGUGGGGGCGGCAGGGGCUCACCGUGNNNNNNNNNNNNNNNNNNNNNNNNNNNNNNNNNNNNNNNNNNNNNNNNNNNNNNNNNNNNNNNNNNNNNNNNNNNNNNNNNNNNNNNNNNNNNNNNNNNNNNNNNNNNNNNNNNNNNNNNNNNNNNNNNNNNNNNNNNNNNNNNNNNNNNNNNNNNNNNNNNNNNNNNNNNNNNNNNNNNNNNNNNNNNNNNNNNNNNNNNNNNNNNNNNNNNNNNNNNNNNNNNNNNNNNNNNNNNNNNNNNNNNNNNNNNNNNNNNNNNNNNNNNNNNNNNNNNNNNNNNNNNNNNNNNNNNNNNNNNNNNNNNNNNNNNNNNNNNNNNNNNNNNNNNNNNNNNNNNNNNNNNNNNNNNNNNNNNNNNNNNNNNNNNNNNNNNNNNNNNNNNNNNNNNNNNNNNNNNNNGUAGGAAGGCAGGGAGGUGCGGCGACGGGGCGGGGAGGGUGCGGUGGCGACGGCGCGGGGUGGCAGAGGGAGGAAAGAGGAGAGGAGACAGAGAGAGAGGGGGCGAUGGCGGGGGCGCGGCCCCGUUAAGUCAAUUUUGAAGCUGGUGCCCCCUCUUUGCCGUCUGCUAGCAGACGACAAAGCUUCUUUAUCGUCUGCUAGCGGACGGCAAAGAGUUGGCUGAUGGCAAAGCCUAGCUUUGCCGUCCGCUGCCUCUUUGCGUCUGCUUUCUGGUGGCUGAUGGCAAAGCCUAUCUUUGUCGUCCGCUAGCGGACGACAAAGAGUGGGCAGACGACAAAUCUGUUGAUUCCAGUAGUGAAUUCGUCCUGAAAGCUUUCUUAUGAUUUUUUUCAGGUCAAAAGCCUCCAUAUAGCAGAAGAUGGACACGGGAGACCUGUCAGGGGGCCCACAAGCCGUAGGGGCGUGCCCUGGGGGUAGGGCGCGCCCCCCAGGCUUCUGGCCACCUGGUGGGUCUCCUCUGGUAUUUUAUUCGCUCAAUAAUUUUUAUAUAUUUUAAAAUAAUCCUCCGUAAAUUUUCAGAACUUUUGGAGUUGUGUAGAAUAGGUCUCUUAGAUUUACUCCUUUCCGUUUCAAAAUUUCAGCUGCUAGCAUUCUCCCUCUUCAUAUAAAUCUUGUAAAAUAAGAGAAUAAAUGCAUAAGUAUCGUUCCAUAAUGUGUAAUAGCAUCCCAUAAUACAAUAAAUAUCAACAUAAAAACAUGAUGCGAAAUAGACAUGUCAGCCUCCAUGUGAGACGAUUCCAUAGUGGAUUCAAGACCCCAUCUAAGGAAGAUCUUCUUCCUCCAAGAAUAUUAAGACCUCUCUCCUUCAAGGAUUGAGACGAACUAGUGUCUCUCUUACCUUCUUGUAUUGGAUUUGGACCUUUGUAUCCCUCUAUGUGUAUGUGGAUUUAGCAUAUGUGUGAUUGGAUCUUGUCUAUUUGAGUGUUUAUCUUUGGUUUGCUUUCUUUUUCUCCUCCGAGUGUGAAAAGAUCAUAAACUUAGAGUUCCACCCUACAUCACUAAUCUAGUAUUGGCCGGUGUCUCGGUCCUUGAUUUCCGAUACGUACCCCAUGUCUGCUGCCACACUCCGUGGUACUUCUUCUUCUUCCUCGGUGGUAGGUUCCUCGGGUCGGCUGCACGCCGUAGCGACCUUUGACUACUCGAUCUACUCGAUAUUUCUAUUUUGGGGACGACGCCGCGACGGGAGGUGCGAGGUGGUUGUGGUGCCGGCUUGAUUUGGGUGGCACCCACAUCGAUGCAAUGUGACUUAGGAAGAGAUGUGAUGCCGGGGGAGGUGGAGAUUCAUCUUUGAUAAUGAGCCGCAGCUGAGCAAAAUAAGCAGCGGCUGAUGCGAUGAGUAUAAUUUUUUAGGGGUCAACCCGGAUAAAGGUUCGACUAGGUCCGGUUUAACUCCUGAAAGUUAAACUUUUAAUCAUUUAACCGGCUUUGAGGGAUGACUAGAGAUGCCAUAGGUGCACCUACAUUUACUUAGCCCCAUGGUACAGGCAUAACAACAGAGAUCGAGAAAGCCUUUUUUUAGAUGGAAAGGAAGAAAGCUUAUUUGCUACUGCAUUAAUUGUUACAUCCAACUGAAGACGGCCGGUCUUGAAUCCACUGCGAGAAUUUGAACAGCUAGAGAUACAGAUGAUCAGAUACACAACCGAACAGUUCACAUAAGAUCACAAGAGAGUAGCACACGCGCCUUGUUGCAUUAUAUUACACCACCACCAUCUACACACGAACGGCGUUGCCUGCUUUGCCCAGCGACGGAGACGGGAGAAUCUCCUACUGAAGUGCCGCGACAACGGUAGAUCCUUCCACCUGCACAACGAAUAAGUUCAGAUAGGUUAAUUUAGCCCAAGUCUUCUUUUCCUCGUGACUAUUAUUCCUUCCAAGCUACAUUAAUAAGAAUCAUCAAAGUGCCACAUCUUACCAUGAAGGUUGCACCACAUAUUUCCUCCUCAUCUGCAGGCACAGCGGUGACCUUGUUCUUGGGAUUCUCGUACGACUUGAGGCCUCCAAGAGCGUUCCAGUAGAAGCAACCUUGCGGGAAAGGCGCCAGUGACUUGC